UCGGCAGCAGUGGAUUCUCCGGCCAUGUUUCUUCAAUGUAUUCGAGGAUUACAAGGGACUCGGCUACUGCUCUGUCACCAUGAAGAAGCACCGGAACCUUCUUGUGAACUGGAUUGUGGUGUAACAACAACUGGCUCUUGCUACGAAGGUCUUCCUCAAUAUACUCAUAGUUUAUGCCCUUGAGUUUUAGGGUCCAUAUCACCCUGUAAGCAAAAGAGCUUGCCCAAAACCCUAAUAGCUUCACUCCUGCCAUUGUUUUCUAUUAUGCCAGCUCAAUUUGCUUGGGGAUGAGUUUCAAAUCUUUAAACUUGGAGGAAGAUGUGAUCCUUUCUCUUCAACCAAGGAUUUCAGCCUGUGUAAGGAGGAUUAUUCAUUUAAUUAGAUCUGUAAUAAUAUUUAUGUAUGAAGGGGUAUUUUCAAAUUAAGAAUCUUCACAAUGCCCUUAGCUAAGACUAUAUUAAUUGUUAUUAUUUUCUAUUAACAUGAAAAAGAAAAAAGAUAUAUUGACUAGUGACUCUUAAAGGUCAAUGAGUUAGGUAGAUUUUUAUUUCUGCCACUAAUAUAACAUUGCAGGUAGGUCCAUUCCUGGUUAUAAAUAUCCAAUUAGAAGAAGCUCUACCUUUUUCAUGGAAACGACAAAAAGGAAGAUUGAAAAAUCAAAGAAGUAACAUCAAGUGUUUAUAAAGCAUCAAUCAUUUCACUUGGACAAGAUGUUAAUUGCCAGAGUCGGUCAAUAGAAGAUAAGAUCUAGGAUGAAGACCCCGAAUAAGAAAGAAAAGGUGUGAGAAAAUUUAUGUAACAAUUAUUUCGAAUUCUAAAGCAAGUUUAGCAAUGAAAUAACUCCCUUAUAACCAUCAAUAUAUAUAUAUAUCAAUCGGGUGGUACAUUAGGUCAGAGUACUCACCAGCUCACAUCACCCAAGUCAAUGAAAUCCAAUACCUCAAUCUUAGUUCAACUAAAUAUACCUUCAUGAUUGGCUUAAGUAUGGGUAGCAUAUUGUUAUGAACUUUAAUGUAUAUUCCUUUAUUAUCUCCUAAAGGUUAGGAUUAGAUAAUUAUUUUAAUCUCCUCUCAUUUAUUUCCUUCGUAUAUAUGUAACUACUCUUCAAAUGAAUAAGAUGAGCCAUUAUUCCAUACUUUGUUAUAUGGCAUUAGAGCUCUUUCUACUCUUAUUGAGUUUCUUAAUUUGCCAUGGCUAACAUUUCUAUCACUAAUACUUCAAACUCAUCUAAUUUAGAUUUGUUAGCUUUUGUACCCAAUGUUUCAACUUCCAUUAUUAGCUCCUCAACUAGUUUCAUUUCCAUCAAUGUCAAUGCCAAACUUCUUUAAAAUUAACUUUUCAUAAUUAUUCUUCAUGGCAUGUCUAAUUUUAUGCAAUUCUCUUUUGCUAUAACCUUUUCGGAUAUGUAGAUGACUCUCUAUUGUGUCUUCCUAUUUUUGAGGCUUCUUCUCAUUCUUUUAGGCCAUGCCAAGAUCAACUCAUUUUUCAUGCAUUUUUGCCCCACUUUCAAAAUCUAUCAUGCCGCUCAUAAUUGCCUCAACCAAAACUUCAUGAAGCAUAGUUAAAAUUUACCAAACUUUAUGUUGGUCACUCUUAAAGUCACAUCCUUCAAUCCAAAGGAAAAAUUUCCUCAAGCACCCCUAGAGAAAAAAUUUUCUUAGAGUUUUUACAAAUAUUCAAAAGCCUUUGCGAUCAACUCACCCUUUGUCAUUCAACUUUGGAUGAAGAAGAUUUGUUUGUACACUCUCCGAAUGGAAUGGGAAAAAGAAUAAAAGGAAGUUGUUGUUGCCAUUCAAUCUAAAGAAAUUCCCAUUUCAUUGGAAGAACUUUAUCAUCAACUCAUAGAUCAUGAAGAGUUUAUGCAACAAGACUCUCUUAGCUCUGAAUUUGUUCCUAUGUCUACAAACCUAACUUGCUAUCAUAAACAAUCUCAUAUGUACUAGAAACUUCUAUUCUCCUUUGUUUUGCCUUAUUGAAAAACCUAGUUCAUAUCCGAAUUAUCUCACCAAUCAACCAUCAAAAUGAAAGCAAUCCAACCUAAAUCCUAAUGUCUGCCAAUAUUGUGAAAACUGAGUUUAGAUUGCCAAGAAUUGUUUGAAGCUCUUCCCUAAUCAACAUCUUUUCCAUGCCAGUACCAACUAUAGUAUCCCAUACCUCAUGAAUACCUUUCCUUAACUUAUUGAUUCAAGCACUUCGCACCAUGUUAUUAUUGAUUUAAGUAAUUUGGCCUUGCAUUUUGAACGUGAGAGUUAUGAUGAUACAGUCCUUAGUGAUGGUGAAGAUCUCGAUGACACACACUGUUAUGCUAAUUUCUCAAUUCUUUAUUUUACCAAAACCUUCCCUUUACAAAUGAUCUUUGUAUCACAUCAAUGCAAUUGUUUCUAAAUUUUGUUUAUCUCAAAAUUCUUCCAUUGAAAAUUUUUCCUUCAUAUUUUUACGUUAAGUAUCUUCAAAUGAUAGCACUACUAUUGCAAGGGUUAGGAUAAAGAUGGUGUUUACGAAUGCCACAACUUACAUAUGCUCUUAGAAAUUGCAUUCAUGCUCUUGGCACACUCAAGGAACCUUAGGUUUUCCAUUAAUAAUUGGGUCAUCUAUAGAAGCUCUUUAGAAGAUGACAAGAAAAAUUGAAACCCUAACCCCUAAUAGGGGUAUUUAUAGGGCUCCUUAUGAGCUGAAGUGAUUUCAGCUUAAAAUGGGCUUAGGUCCUAAUUAAUUAAUUAACUUUAAUGGGAUCUAAUUAAUUAAUUAGUCCUUACCAGAAAGAUAAUUCAUAAGAUCUAGUGCAACCUUACAUUUUGAUUAAAACACCCUUAUACACACUUAUGAAUCAAAACUCAAAUCCCUUAAAAUAAACGUGUACCUUUAUAAAAUAGAAACUCAAGCGUGGACCAUUGGGACCCAUAGGAAAAUAUUAGUUCCUUUAUAAUUUAAUUCUAAAGUUGAUUCAAUACUCCACUAAAGAUCAUCAAUUGCACUCUAAUAUUAUAAUAGCAUAGCUCAGGUUCAUGCCUUACCAUCCAUAGCAUGCAGACUCCUUAUGACUUGGUGUCUAUAAUCUAACAUGGUAUUGCUAUCAUCUUUAAGAUUACCUCUCCAAUCCUUCUGUUAUAGAUCCCACUUAUUAUGUGAUCAAUUAACAUACUUUAACUCCAAGGAACAUAUGUCAAAUUUCUACUGAAGGAAAUGAUCUGACCAUAGGCUUCUAAAUCACAUGUUCUUUGGAUCACUUAAGAAGAGACACUAUCUCAAUUUAAUGAGAAAUUGUGGUGCCUCUAUUGAGAAUAUCUAUUGCCAUUAGGCUUCAUCAAUAGUAACCCAAUUCAUAGGGACAUAUGGUCACUUUAAGAUCUCACCCAUAAGUCAACGUCUCCUAUUGAUUUUGGCACAGACUUAACACCUUCUCAAGGUUGAGAGUCCAUGUAGUAUAAUAGCUUAGUGAAUUGUGAUAACCGAUAGCCUUAUGUCAUGAUUCACUAUAGGUCAUGUCCAAUGUGCAUCACAUACACUAUUGCACUCACUAUGAGAAAAUCAUCCCAAUGACCAAGAUAAGUCAUUCCUUUAAUUACGAGAUAGUGCAUUACAGUCUCAAAUGAAUUGCCUAAAUCUAUGAACCAACUGUGAAUUACUCAUCACUCUACAAGGUACCCAUGACUUGGAUCUUCAAUGCAGUUCCUAAUGCGCCCAAGUCAUGUGCAAUGCAAGUAAUGUGGGUAUGUAUGUUUAGAUAACCAAUUAAUGCUCAUGUAACUAAAAAACAUAGAUAAAUAAUUUUAUAAAUGAAUCUCAAUUUGUUAGAUCAUUUCAUUUUUUCUAAGGCUUAAUCCUAGCAAUAUAUUCCUUAUGAAUUUGGUCACUAAUGAUGGAGGUUAGUUGUAAUAGAUAUCUUCAAUAAAGACACCAUGAUAUCUCAUGGUAUUGAGACAAUGGGUCUUCUUAAAACUAAAGUUGCAGUAAUUUCUUAAGUGGAAUUUGACAUAUAUUCUUUAUGAGUUAAAGUAUGUUAAUUGAUCACAUAAUAGGGGGAUCUGUAACUCAAGAAUUGAAAAGGUAAUCUUGAGAGGUUGAUAGCACAUAUCUCCUUGAUUACAAAUACCAAUUCACACAGUCUAUGUGCAAUGGGUAGUAGGUUAAAGACCCAAGCUUUAUCUCAUUAUAAUAUCAUUGGAUACUAGAGUGUAGUUAGCUCUCUUUAGUAGAGUGUUUAGUAAUUUCAUAAUUAGAUUAUGAGGGAACCAAUAUUUUCUUAUGGGUCCCAAUGGUUCCUGUUUCAGCUCUUGAUUCAUGUUGGCAUGUUUGAUUGAGAGAAUUAUGGGUUUUUAAUUCCUAAGUGUGCAUAGGGGCAUUUUGAUAAAAAUAUAAGGUUGCACUAGAUCUUAUGAAUGAUCUUUCUAGAUUUGGCUAAUUAAUUAAUUGAAGUCUAAUUGAGUGAAUUAAUUAAUUAGGACUACAAUGGACUAGAUUAAGUGACCUAAGCCUAAUUUGGGGUAAAGUCACUUAAGCCCACAUGGAACCCUAUAUAAAUCCCCUUAAAGGUUUAGGAUUUCAUUUUUUGCAUCCUCGUCUUUCAAACUUUGGAAAAGAAAUACCUUGCCUCCUUUUAGAUAAGUCCAUCGUUAUCUUGUGCCAUAGAUAUGUGAAAUGAGUGAUAAAGUAGAAGAUCUUUAGAUCUACAAGAUCUACGAUGCCAACCUAGAUCUAUCCAUUAAGACUUAAUGAUCCACCACUAAACAUGAUUUAACUAAAAGCGAAUGAUGCAUACCUAACUUUUUCUUUAGGAAUUCAAGGCUCUCCUUUUUCUAGUGGCUUUUCUUUUCAGAAAGGAAACACUUGCCCUUCCCAUUGCUCUUCUUACUCAUUUUCUUAAACUUUUGCUUUUGUUUGAUGUUCUUUGAAUUGUUCUUCUUCUUCUUCUUCUUUUUAGAAGAACCUGAAAAACCCUUGAUUAUCAUAUGACUACCUUCUUAGUCGUUGAGAAUCCCCUCAGUCAUCCGAGUUCCCUUAUAAUUUUAGGUAAGCUCAUCACCAAUUUAUGCAUAGUAUAGUUGAACUUGAACUACCUGAAGGAAUCCAACAAGGUUCGAUCUAAAACUCAAACAUCAUCUUUAUGUUUCUGAGUUUAGAAAGAAUUUGAUUCCAGUUUCUAGUUACGUAAAUCGAAUUGUUCAAUGUUUUUUAAUAAACAAGUUAUUAUUAAAAUGAAUAAUUCAAUUAUAUGCUCAAGACCAUUGAUUAAUAAUCUUUAUCCUAUGACUGCAUUAUCAUUAUUGUUAAGUAAUGAGAAUAAUCAUAUCUCACUUAAAAGAAAGCAACCCAUCACUAAUCAAAAACACUUUUGACACUUAAACUUAGGUUAUACUAAUCUAAAUAGGAUCCAAAGGCUACUUAAAGUCUAGAAUAUUGCACUCUUUCAUUCCAAAGGAUCUUUUAGUCUGAAAAUCCUAUAUGGAAGGUAAAAUAACUAAGAAGCCAUUUACUACUAUAGGAUACAAAGUCAAAGAAUGUUUGGAGUUAAUGUAUAUUGAUAUGUGUGGACUUUUGAAUGUCGAUGCAUGGUGAGGGUAUGAGUACUUCAUCACCUUUACAAAUGAUUACUCUAUAUAUUUACCUAAUGCAUAGAAAAUCCAAUGCCUUAGAUAAAAUUCAUUAGAUUUAAGGUGGAAUAAAAAAACCAAUUAGGUAAACAUAUCAAGGCACUUCAGUCUAAUUGCGACGGUGAGUAUACAUCACCUGGUUCAAUUAUUUCCAUAAGGAGCAUGAGAUUAUAUCUUAAUUGAGUGCAACUAAAACUCCAUAGUAGAAUGGAGUAGUGGAAAUAAGAAAUCAAACUUUGAUGGACAUAGUGAGAUUUGUGAUGAGUUUUUCAUCACUUCUUGUAUCCUUGUGGGGAUAUGCCUUAUUUUCCUAUGGGUACUAGCCCAUUCAAGCUCCUGAUUCAUUGUGGCAUGUUUGUUUAAGGGAAUUAUGAGUUUGUAAUUCAUAAGUGUGCAAUGACAUUUUGGUAAAAACACAAGGUUGUUUUGGAUCUUACGAACGGUCUUUUUGGAUUUGCCUAGUUAAUUAAUUGGAGCAUGGUAGGUCUAAUUAAUUAAUUAAGAUCCAAAUGAGCUAUAUUAAGUGGCUUAAGCCCAAUUUAGACUCAAGUUACUUAAGUCUACAAGGAAGCCUAGCAUCCUUAGACUCAAUAGGGCUUUAGUUUUUACAUCAUUGUUUUCUAGUUUCUAGAAAAGAAACUCCUAGCAUCCCUUUAGAUAACCCACCCUUAUCUUGUGGUAGAGAUCUAUGAAAGUAGUGAUUCGAUGGAAGAUCCAUAGGUUUACAAGAUCUAUGAUACCAUCAUAGUUUAUUUCAUUGGAUUGGAUUUGUUCUGGGAAUAUCUAGAUCAUAGUAUGACAUCUAAUCGUAGAUCUAUGAUCAUUAUGGUGUUGUUUACCAUAUUUCUUCAUUGAGUUAGAUUUAGAGAAGGUUAGGCAUAGUUGCAUGCACUCUACAAGAUCCAGGGCUAGAGAAUAGAGUAAUUCAAGGUUCCUAGCAUCCUCUUAUUUCAAGAAUUUAAUAUAUAGAUAUUUAGGAUAAGAAAUGUUAAGAUAAAGCCCUUAAGAAUAUAUUAUCAUGUAACAAAAUAAGAUUCAUUAAUAUAUUUAAUUAUAAUUUUAGUUUCCACUUUUCUAUCCAUGAUUGUAUUAUUACUCAUGGGAGUAUUUAGGCUUGCAUCACUUGGAUUGCACAUGAAUUGAGUGCAUUAGAAGAUUGGUGGAAAAUUUAAGUCAUUGGUUCUUUACAAGUUGAUGAGUUGUUCACAACCAAUUCAUGGACUUAGGCAAUCCAUUAGAGAUAGUAGUGUGCUACCUCUUAAUUGAAGGGCUGACUUAUCUUGAUCAUCAACAUAGAUUUCCCAUGAUGAGUGCAAUAAUGUGUAUGGUUACACAUUGGAUAAAACCUAUGACAAAUCAUUACAUGGGAUAUCGUAUGGUUAUGACUUCACCAAGUUACAAUGUUGCAAGGACUAUCAACCUUGAGAGAAUAUUGAACUUGUGUUGAGCUCUGCAAUGACUUAAACUUAUGAGUGAAACUCUAAGGUUGUCAUAAAUUGUCUAAGAAUUGAGUCCCUGAUGUUUAAGGCAAGUGGUAAUAGGUGUACUCAAGGUAGACAUCAUGAUAUCUCAUGGGACUGAGAUAAUGUCCCUUGGGGUGAUCUUAGGGACUUGUGAUCAUUAAAUCUAUGGCUGCAACAAUUCCUUAAGUGGGAUUUAACAUAUGUCCUUUGUGUAUUAGAACAUGUUAAUUGAUCACAAAAAAUAAGGAUUUGAAAUUCAAGAAUUAUAGAGACAAUCUUGAUAUGUUGAUAGCUACUAUCUUAUUAGAUUGUGCACACUAGUUCAUAAGAAACUUGUAUGUAGUGGAUUUAAUAAAUGUUAUCUCAAUGUAAUAUCAUAGGGUAUUUAAGUGAAAUUGACUUUUUUCAGUGGAAUAUUGAGUUAACUUUAUUAUUGGAUUCUAAAAUAGUUAGUUUUUUCCAAUGUUCUUAAAAUCCAACCGGACUGACCAAUUUGACUGAUCGAACCAUAGACUGGAACUUGGUUCGGUUCAUUCCAACCUAUGGCCCAGAGUACAUAUUGAACCAGGCUUAAACUGAAUGGAUUGACAGUUGGACCAUUAAACCUGUGAAUUGAUCAUUCGGUUCUGGGUUGACAUUUUUUUUCCUCGCUAAAGGGUGGUUAGGAGCCCAACCUAGUUCACCCUACUUUAGCCUACCAUAUAAGGCUAGUGGGCCAAGGACCACAUAAAGCUACAAUACGAUACAUGGGACAAAGAAUUUAAAGGAGUGUUCAUCCUCCUCUGCUUCCACAACUCCCAAUGUGGGAUGAGAUAUAAAAUCCAUACAAUUUUCCACAACUUCUCAUGUGGGAUGAGAUAAAAUACAUAAGCUAUAAUGCAAUUGGCAAUUGACAACCAGAUGAUUUGAACCAAUUUGUUACUAAUAAUUGAUAUUUAAAAAUUGUAAACUAAAAAACCAAUAACAUAAUUAUUUAAAAAUUGUUUUGAUAAUAAAAAAAAUAUAAGUAAAAUAAUGUAAUAUAGGUAAAAUAAAUUAUAAAUAAAAGAAUUUUCUUCUAUUGUAAUACAUAUUUUAUUUAUAAAAUUUAAAAUAUUAAUAUUUUUAGAUUUACUCAUGAUUUAAGUUUGAUAAUAUUAAAGACAAUAUAUAUAUAUAUAUAUAUAUAUAUAUAUAUAUAUAUAUAUAUAUAUAUAUAUAUAUAUAUAUAUAUAUAUAUAUAUAUAUAUAUGCUUUAAAAUUUUAAAAUUUAUUUUUAAUUUUAAUAAUAAAUAAAUUAUAUAUUUAUGACAUCAUCGAUUCGAUUGCAGUUUGACCAUUGGUUUGACCAUUGAAUCGUGAACUGGUAACUUUUUUAGUUCAAUGACCGAUCCAAUUAUGAAAAAAUUGGUUUUUUCUUAUAAGCUUUAGUGGGCCUUGCUUGAACUCGUAAUCUUUGUUAGAACAAAGACUUGAGGGAAAUUGGGUUUAUUUAAUCAUAUGUCUGCAUAAGAGCAAUUUGAUAAGAAUGCAAGGUUGCACAAAAACUUAUAAUUAUUAUUUUAGGUUUCCUAAAUUAAGCUAAUUAAUUAAUCGGAGUCCAUCAGUGCUAAUUAAUUAAUUAAGAUCCAAUGGUCUAGAUUAAAUGAUCUAACCUCCAGUGGGCCUAAGUUACUUAAGCCCACAAGAGUGACUAUAACUUCUUAGGGUUUAGGGUAAGCUAACAAAGAAAUCCAUCUAUUCAUUCUUUAUUCUUCUAAAGAAAACCUUAUUCAUCUUUUCUCUCUCAAGGUUGUGUAGCCACUUUAGACACAUGACAAGGAUCAAAGACAAAUCUUUUGAGUGGAACACACCUAGUUUUUGAGAUCUCUACAUUAACUUGAAUUUGAUCUAGGAAAAUCCAUGUUGAAUUGUAUGUCUUUUAGCACCUAAAUCUAAGUGUAGACCCUUCAUUUUGUCUCCUUAGCACAUGCCCUAUGAGGUGUUCUUUCAAUAUUUCACAGUAGUUCUCUAGUUGCCCAUUGCUACUCAUGCAACUUUUCUUUUUUAACCACCUUGGAGACUUUGAAUGAGGGAUUUAUCUAGCCCCUCAUUGUGACCCUUGGCAACCUUGAGUUAGAUCUAAGUUUUUUUUUUCUUUUUAGGAUAACUCAUUUAGGUACACUUUCACUUAGACACAUCCUAGGUCACCUAGCCACUUUUCUUAUCACCCUAGGUCACUUAGGCACUUUUCUAAUCAUCCUAGGUCACUUAGACACUUUUUUUAAUCACCUUAAGUCACUUAGACACUUUUUUUUUUUUUUUUUUUUAUCACCUAGGUCCACUUAGAUUCAUUUAGGCCCACCUUAGACCCAUCUAAGCCCACUUAGCCCACUUAGGUUCACUCAAGCCUAUUUAGGCCCAUCAGAUCCACAUUAGGCCCAUCUAGGCCCACUUGACCCAUUCAGGUUCACUCAAGCCCAUUUAGGCAGAUUUAGGCCCACUUAGGUUCUCAUUUGGCCCAUCUAGGCACACCUAAGGCCAUUUAGGCCAUUUAGGUCAUUUAGGUCCAUCUAGGAUCACCUUAGCCCAUUUAGGUAACUUAGGCACAUUUUGGUACACCUUAGGCCCAUUUAGACUCACCCUAGCCCAUUUAGACACAUCUAAGCCCAUUUAGGUCAAUUAGGCCCACUUAAGCAUGCCUUGACCCAUUUAGGUCACUUAGGCCCAUUUAGGCAUCUCAACCCAUUUAAGCACACCUAGGCCCAUUUUGGAACCUUGGCCCAUAUCUGGCCCAUUUAGGCAUACCUAACCUAUUUAGGAAUACCUUGACACAUUUAGGCACACUUAGCCUAUUUAGGAACAACUUGGCCUAUUUAAGCACAUUUGACUCGUUUAGGCACACCUUGACCCUUUUAGGCAUACUUGGCUUAUUUAGGCACAUUUGACCCAUUUAGGAAUGUCUUGGCCUAUUCCAACCAAGGAUGAAAGUAUCAGUAAUUACGAAUAUAUUGGUAUUUCCGUUUAUGGAUAUAUCUGAUAUAUCGACGGAUAUUUUGACAUAAAAUAUCGGUGAACUUAAAAUUGAUCAGAAAUUAUAAAAAUGUAAGAAAAAACUAUUAAAAAUAAAAUUACAAGUAUAAUAGAUAUUUUAAAGUUGUUUUAUUCAAGAAAUUGAUAUAUGUAUGAUAUAAUUUAUCAUAUUUGAUAAUAAUAUUAUAUGUGCUAAUAAAAAAAAAUGAAUUUUAUAAGUAUACAUUUAUUAUUAAAUUAUAUCAAAUAUUAUUCGAUAAUAAUAUUUGUGAUAUUUGAUUAUAAUAUGUCUAAUUUAAAAAUGUAUUUAAUAUUAAAAUUAUAAUUCGUUUAAUUCAAUUGUAUUAAAUGAUAUAAAAUAAAUGAUGAUAUAUGUAUAAUUUUUAAUACUUAAUUAAUAUAUUAAUGAUAUUAAAAACACUAUGAAGAAAAUUAUCACAAUAAUUUUUAUAUUUUUAGUAUUCAAAUAGAUGAAAUUUUUUCAUUUAAUUAUAAUUAAUUUGUUCUUUAAAACAUUUUUAAAAAUUAUGUUUAUACGAUGAAUUUGAGUUUAUAUAUAUUUGGUGCAACUUAUAUAACAAGGGACAAACUUGCCCUACUGGUUGGCUUAAUGCAUAGUAAACCUUUUGGUUGGGGUUAACAUUCAAGUUCCAGCUCAUGUUAGCUCAUUUAGUCUCACUUAGAUCACUUAUGUUCACUUUAAGUACACUUAAGCUUAGUUUAUCUAGUUCAUUUUAAGAAGUUUUCUCUAAGUUGCACUUUAGAAUAAUUAUUUUAGAGGCAUAUUUAGUUCAUUCUAGUUUAGGUACACUUUAGGAUAGUUCUCUUAGAUGCAUAUUUAGUUCACCUUAGUUUAGAUGCACUUUUUCAUUUUAGUUGAACUAAUGUUCAUGCCAUUUAGGAACACUCUAAGUUAGUUCAUCCAUUUCUUAUUUAGGUAUAUUAUCUAGUUACAUUUUUUUAGAAUUCGUUUUAUAUACAUUUUAAAAAGGAGAGUGAGAAUUUUUUUAAGGAAUAUGAUAACUUUUUUUUUAUUUAUAUAAAAAAGGAAGAUAUGACAAUUUUUGAAGAUGGCAUCAAUUUUUUUUUUUUUUUAAAAAGAGAUGAAAAUUAUUUUGAAGAUGACAACAAUUUUUUUUAAAGGAGAAGGAAAAUAAUUAAAAGGAAUAGAAGAUAAGAUUUUUUUUUUUUUUUUCUUUUAAGAUGGUACCAUUUUAAAAAAAAAAAGGAUAGAAGAUAUGAAUUUUUUUUUUUAAAAGGAAAAGGAGAAUUUUUUUUAAAAGGAAUAUGAGUAUUUUGGAAGAGGAUAUCAUAAUUCUUUUAUAGAGGAUAUUUGAGUUUAGAAAAGAAGGACACAUAUAAGGAUUCAUGGACUAGAGGACCCGACCAUAUUGAGAAGAAUAGAGAUUCAUGCAUUUUAGAGAAGACUACUCACCAUCUUGGAUUAGGAAAAGUGUGGUGGUUGUCAUUGACUUGCCAAAACAGAUUUCAAGCAUGCAUUUGAGGAAAAGAUUGGGGGGACAUCAUUAAGGAAGAGAAAAACCUAGACAUGAAUGGAGAUUGAUUUUUUCUUUUUUCUUAUUUUUUUUUUAAGAAAAAAAAAGAAAAGAAAAGAAAGGAAAAGAGAUUUUGGGGAAGAAAACAUGAUGAACAGUCGAUGAAAGGAAGGGGACAUUUAGGAAGAAGAAGAGAUCGCCUUCUUUUGAGAGUAAAAUGAGACGUUUUGAGGGAUUCAGAGGGGUUUUAAGGGAUUUUUUUUUUUUUUUAGCAAUUUGGAGAGGGAUCAAUAGCCUUUCGUGGGGGUUCUCAAACUUUAUCUUCAUAUCAUAAUUUGAAGAAGAAGGUGAGUAAGUUUAGAAAAUGUUGGGAUUUAUUUUUUCUGGUUGUUAUGUAUUAUUCUGGGUUUUGUAUAUUGUUUUAUGUUAUUGAAGUUUUGAUUUUUAUUGAGUGCUUAGAAAAUUGUUAGCACUGUUGUGAAAUAAGGACAAAUACAAUGCAAAUCAAAGUAGUAAAGAUGGAAUAUAUUUUACUUUGAUAUAUAAUAGGGAAGAAGAAAUCAGAUACGAGAGUUGAGAAAGUUGAGAGAAUGAAAAACAGAGAUAAUGAGAUGAAGAAAAUUUCUUUCUUUUUCUCGGGAUGUAUAUUGCAGGAGAUGGGAAGCCCUUUUAUAGGCUUUCCAAAUGGCUUCCAUUAAUAUCCCCAUUAAUGAAACUCAUAAAUAACAUUAAUGGUUUCUAUUAAUGAGUAUUAAUGGAAGUCAUAAAUAAUACUUAAUUAACAUUACUGUGGUGACAUUCAUUACUUCAGUUAUAACACUCCCCCUUGGAUGUUCAUCACAUUGAAGAAUAUGCCUCAUUAAAACCUUACUAGUAAAAAACCCUAUAGGAAAAACCUAGCAAAGGAAAAAGAGUACAAUAUUCUUUUCUAGGUAUAUUAGGAUUGCCUCGUUAAAAACCUUACUAGUAAAACCCAGUAGGACAAAACUUGGACGAAGGAAAAAGAGUACAGUACACUAACACCCUUUUACAAGCAUACUUCCCUUAAGUCGAUAUCAUUGAGUUGACGUAUUCCAAUCAUGUGUAUUAACUUCUUGAAUAUUGAGGUUGGCAAUGAUUUUGUGGUAAAUCUGCUAGAUUAUCACUUGAGCAUAUUUGUUGCACAUCAAUUUCACCACUCUUCUGGAGUUCAUGUGUAUAAAAGAAUUUUGGUGAAAUGUGUUUAGUUCUAUCUCCUUAAUAUAACUCCCUGUUAUUUGUGCAAUGCAUGCUGCAUUAUCUUCAAAUAAUAUUGUCGGGUCACCUUUGAUAGAGGAGAGUCCACAUGAUUCCCGAAUAUGCUGGAUCAUAGAUCUUAGCCAUAUACAUUCACGACUUGCUUCAUGAAUUGCUAGUAUUUUUGAAUGAUUUGAUGAUGUGGCCACCAUUGUUUGUUUGACAGAUCUCCAUAAAAUAGCAAUACCAUUGCAAUUAAAUACAUACCCUGUUUGUGACCUACCUUUAUGUGGAUCUCAAAGAUAUCCUGCCUCUGCAUAUCAAGCAAUUGUUGCUUUGAUUCCCUUGAGUAAAAUAAAUCCAUAUCAGUAGUUCCACGAAGAUAACGCAAUAUAUGUUUGAUACCAUUCCAAUGUUUUUGAGUUAGAGCGGAACUGUAUCUUGCUAAUAAAUUGACAGAAAAAGCAAUGUCUGGAUGUGUACAAUUGGCAAGAUACAUAAGUGCACCAAUAGCACUAAGAUAUGGUACUUCAGGACUAAGUAACUCUUCAUCUUUUUCGCAAGGACGAAAUGGGUCAUUUUUCACAUCAAGUGAUCGGACAACCAUUGGAGAACUUAAAUGAUGCACUUUAUCCAUAUAAAAACGCUUCAAAACUUUCUUAAUGUAUGUUGAUUGAUGUACUAAAACUCCAUUUGAAAAAUGCUCGAUCUGUAGGCCAAGACAAAAUUUUGUUUUUCUAAGAUUUUUCAUCUCAGAUUCUUUUUUCAAGUAAUUUGUUGUUCUUGUGAGCUCUUCAGGAGUUCCAAUAAGAUUUAAGUCAUCAACAUACACUGCAAUAAUUGCAAAUCCGAUUUCUGAUUUCUUAAUGAAGAUGCAUGGGCAUAUAGGGUUAUUCACAUACCCUUCUUUUAGCAAGUAUUCGCUAAGGCGAUUGUACCACAUGCAUCUAGAUUGCUUUAAUCCAUACGAGGAUCGUUGUAACUUGAUUGAGUACAUGCUACGAGGCUUUGUACUAUUUGCUCAAGGAAAUUUAAAUCCUUUAGGGAUUUUCAUGUAUAUAUCAUUAUCCAUGGAUUCGUAUAAAUAUGUUGUAAUAACAUCCAUGAGACACAUAUCCAGUCCUUCUGAGACUGCCAAACUAAUUAAGAAAUGAAUUGUGAUUGCAUUCAUGACGGGAGAAUAUGUUUCCUUGUAGUCAAUACCAGGUCUCUGCGAGAAACCUUGUGCUACUAAUUGCACUUUAUAUCUUAUGAUCUCAUUUUUCUCAUUACGCUUUCGUACAAAUACCCAUUUGUACCCAACAGGCUAUACAUCUUUAGGUGUUUGGACUACAGGUCCAAAAACUUCUCGUUUUGUUAAUGAGUUUAACUCUGCCUGUAUAGCUUCUUUCCAUUUUGGCCAAUCAUUUUUAUGUCGAUAUUCUUCCAUAUUUCGUGGUUCGGGAUCUUCAUCAUUUCCUAUGAUAUCAGAGGCCACUUGGAAAGUAAAAAUAUUGUUAAUAACAAUAUUAUUUCGAUCCCAUUUUUCUCCUAUGUGUAUAUAACUUACUGAGAUCUCACAAUUUUCAAGUACCUAUGCCUCUUCAGGGGCUUCUUAUUCAAUAUGUGCCUCUUCGGGGGCUUCUUGUUCAAUAUAUGCUUCUUCAGGGGCUUUUUGCAUUAUUUGUGCCUCUUCUAGGGCUAUAGAUUUAUCAAUUUUAAACUGAUCAGUCAUUUUGAUGGCCUAUUUUAGAGUGCCAAGUUUUUCUUGGGUUCUCCUCUUUCGGGGAGUUACAUCCUUUGAGUCAACAGGUCUACCACGCUUCAGGCGUAUCUUAGAUUCAUUUGUUAACUGUCCUAUAGGGACAUCAAUCCUUGCUGGAGUAUUUGCAGCCGGGAUAUGUGACUUUGUCACUUUCUUUGUAUCAAUGAAUGCAUCUGGUAAUUGAUUUGCAAGAUUUUGCAAAUGAAUGAUCCUUUGAGCUUCUAGUUCAAAUUGAUUUGUACGAGGAUCAAGAUGAGUCAUAGUAGAUGCCUUCCAACUAAUUUCUCAUCGAUCUUCAUGAAUCGACUUUUCUCUCCCCUAAUGAUGGGAAAACACUCUCAUUAAAAUGACAAUCCGCAAAGCGGGCUGUAAAAACAUCGCCUGUCAAAGGUUCAAGAUAUCUCAUGAUAGAUGGAGAAUCAAAACCUACAUAAAUCCCAAGUCUUUGUUGGGGACCCAUUUUAGUGCGUUGUGUAGGUGCAAUUGGUACAUAUACUGCACAACCAAAGAUUCGUAAGUGAGAGAUAUUUGGUUAUUUUCCAAGCACAAGUUGUGAAGGGGAGUAUUCAUGGUAAGUUGUAGGUCGAAUACGGACUAAAGUUGCAACAUGCAUAAUAGCAUGUCCCCAGGUGGAAGUAUGUAAUUUGGUUUUCAUUAUUAAUGGUCGAGCUAUUAAUUGGAGACGUUUGAUGAAGGAUUCUGCUAAACCAUUUUGGGUAUGAGUAUGAGCAACAGGAUGCUCAAUAUUUAUCCCUACUGACAUGCAAUAGUCAAUGAAUGUUUGAGAAGUAAAUUUGCCAGCAUUAUUAAAACGUAUUGUCUUAAUUGGAUAAUCUGGAAAUUGUGCUCGUAAUCUGAUUAUUUGUGCAAGGAGUUUAGCAAAGGCAACGUUACGUGUAGAAAGGAGACAAACAUGUGACCACCUAGUAGAAGCAUCUAUUAAGAUCAUAAAAUAACAGAAUGGUCCACAUGGUGGAUGGAUAGACCCACAUAUGUCCCCAUGUAUUCUUUCUAAAAAGACUGGUGACUCAGAUAUGACUUUAGUAAAAGAUGGUCUGAUUAUCAAUUAACCUUUUGAGCAAGCAGCACAUGAGUAUUCAUUGGGCGUAAGAAUCUUCUGGUUCGUUAAUGGAUGACCAUGUGAGUGUUCGAUUAUUUGAUGCAUCAUUGAAGACCCUGGUUGACCUAGCCUGUCAUGCCAAAGGACAAAAACUUUUGGGUCGUUGAACUUCUGGUUCACGACAACAUAUGAUUCAAUAGACUUUAUGGUUGUAUGAUACAACCCAGAGGAGAAAGCCGGGAGUUUUUCCAUUAUAAGCUUCUGACCAGAUAUAAUGGAAGUAAUGUAAAGAUAUUCUACAUUAUCUUCAUUUAUAGUUUCAAUAUGAUAUCCAUUUCUGCGGAUAUCUGUAAAACCGAGCAAAUUUCUUCUAGAUUUGCUAGAAUAUAAAGCAUAAUUUAUAUGAAAUCUAGUUCCAUUUGGUAACAUUAUGUUUGCUCUUCCAGAACCUUCAACUAAGUUUGUAGUACCAGAUAUGAUACUUACAUUAGCUUUUAUUAAUGUCAAUUCGAGAAAAUAUAUUUUAUCUCGAAGAAUUGUGUGCGUGGUCGCACAGUCUGCGAGACAUACAUCAUUCUCAUUCAUCUUGAGACCAAAUAACACAUGGAUUUCAGAUAUAACAAAAAAAAACAAGGCAUAAUGUAAAUAACAAAAGAAAAUUAGAUGUAAAUAUAAGACAUAAUAAUAUAUUAUUUCAUAUACAAAGUAACAUCAAUCAAUGUUAAUUUUCUCAUCAUUUAUCAAAUGGUUUGUUUUUUCAUUGGGACCUCCAAAGAAAUCAAUGUCAUAGUAGGUUAGGUCCAAUCCAUCUCCAUCGGUAAAGUUCAUCUCUAUCUCUUUUCCUUUUACUUUUAUUGAUGCUUGGUAGAGGUCAACCAAAUGUUUGGGCGUACGACAGGUACGCGACCAAUGCCCCUUCAUAUCACAUCUAUAACAAUUAUUCUCAUGGUUCUUAGGAGGUUUAUCUUGUAAACGCUUCCCAUUUUCAUAUUUUGCCUCAGUAUUGUUCCAUUUCGUAUUGUUCCACUUCUGGUGGUGCAAUGAGGCUUUCAUUUUAUGAGAAUUAUUAUUACAAGAACCAUGGUAUCGGGGAUUUCUUCCAUGACCACAACCACGUCCUCAUCAACUCCACGAGUUUGGGACAAUAUUGCAUUCAUUUUAAGGAAUGAUUCAGAUCCAGUUGGAUGAGAUUAGUGAUUUCUUAUCAAAAACUCUUUUUUUUUUUUAAACCUUCAUGGAGAUGAUUGAUUCGUGCCCACUUGGUGUCUCAGCUGAUUCAUGUCCAGCUGGUGCUCCUUGAUUGAGGGAGUAAUCAACAAAAUUUAUAACCUAUUACACCAUGUACUAGGGCAGCAAAGACAAAACUACUAUAGCAUAGUGGCUCUAGGAUCGUUCACUGGGAUGAGUUUUCACUUCACAAAUGAUAUUAAUUCAAAGUUGAAUUGGUGCCUUUUCAUUUCAAGGUUAGCUUUAAAAGAAAACAUAAACUUGAGUUGGAAAAUGUUUGGUUUUAAACUAACCACAAAUAGUAACUGAUUUUACUUACAAAGAAAAGUGUUUCUUGGAGCUCAAAUCACUAGGCUCAGGUUCCUCAUACAAAAAGGGGAGUUCCGGUCACUUGUUUCUUUUCCUCGCAUUAGAGAAUUAACAUAUAGUUCCUUCUCUAACCGGUGUUGUACAGAUGCUUCCUAUUAAUGGGUUCAAACACUAAAUUCCUCUCACUGAUGCACCUUGCAAUGGCUCAUGCCUCUCACCUAGCACUUGCCAUUCAAGAUGAUCUUUAACCUUGGACUUCCCUUCAAAAGCUCGCAAGAGAUAACUAAUGGAUGUCUCCUUGGAGUCCAAAAGCUUACCAAGUGUUGGCUAUUCUAGAAAAUCCUACCUUCAAACCACCUCCCAAAGGCUCGCAAGAGAUAAACUAGUGAAUCUCCAUGGACGGAGAUCACUUGCCUUACCAAGUGUUGGCCCAGGUGAUUUAAAGGCGUUUUAAGUUAACUAAAAAGAUAAAAACCAUUAACGGGUCACACUUUCUCUUCAUUAAAAACUAAAACAACAAAACUUCCAAAUUAUGCAUGUGGAAACUUACCCGGAUUUCGUCACUCCAAGAGACGAAAAGCCUAGCCUCUCAUCCUCUGAGGAAAAAUCCUUAGAGUUUGGUUAGCAAGAAAAUGAAAAUGAAAGAGAAGGAAAAAAACAGAGCAAGGCUCUGUAUAUUCUAUAUAUUUAUAUAUCUAUAUAUCUAUAUAUUUUACAGUGGAUGCAAGGGAAUAUAUAUAGAGACGUUUUUCUAACCUUCCUAACUAAGAAAUCUUAUGGUUGGUGGAUUACAAGGAGAAGAAUGGAAAUUUAUACAAAAAUAUCUGAAGAAAAAUAUCCAAAAGUGUCGGUCGCAACUAUCAGGAAGCUUCAGGAGAACACCCGUGCACUGUGCAAAAUGGCUGCGAAAUUCUUGCAGCAAAAGGGUGAUUUCGCAGCCGUGCAAAAUUCUUCCUUCAGCUUGGAGUGAUUGGGUUCCAAUGGCUGUAACUCCUUCAUUUCAACUUCAAAUCGCGCACCGUUUGAAGCAUUGGAUUCUUGACUUCCUGAGCUUUGAAAUGGUAUAUAGCAUGUAGAAAAUGGACUUCAGGAAGUGCUCCAAAAGUGCGAAAGAAGACUGCAGCUGCUAUCCUCUAUUUUCUUCACUCUGUUUUUCCUCUCUCUGUUGUUCUUUCCUUGCAUACUUUGAACGACUUUGGCAAAGGGCUAUGGAGCUCCAAAGCUUGGUUCUUCAUGAAUUUGAGCUUCCAAAAGCUUUGCCAUGAACUAUAUACAACUCUCCCUCAUUCUUGGAUUGCUUUGGUGUAGCUAAAAGCUAUCAAAAACACCAAAACUUAACACAAUUUGAUUAGAAACGAUUGCAAGGGUCCUUAACAUGUCAAUUGAGUUAAAAGGUAAUAAUUACUACUCAAGAGUGUUUAAAAGAGUUAAUUACAAGCUAUGAAAUAACACUUUUUGAGUAGUAAUCAAUGAUGACGAAGGAAAAUCACUGUUUUUACGCGAUCCUGCAAGGAUGCUUGAUUUCCUUCUUUGAUCACAGCUCCAAGAUUCAUUGCAUUAAGAUGUAUUUUAGCAUCAAAGAUCCAAGAAUGAUAGUUAUUUCCCGAAAUGUCAAGUGCCACAAAUUCGAGUUUUGUGAUAUUCGACAUUGUCAAAUAACUUCAUAUAUAUGACAAAACAAUAUUAUUAAAAUCAAUUAUAAUAACUUGAUAGCAUUGGUAUAACUUUGAUUAUAAACAAAAUCAAAUAAUUUGUUUAUAACUUUUAAGAAUAUGUAACAAAACAAAUGAACAAUAAUAUAAAUAUGUAAAAUUUUAUUCUAUAUAAAUAACUUCAAGUUUAAGAUACGAGAAUUACCUUUAGAGCAAUUCGUGCUGAUAACGUGUUGUGAAAUAAGGACAAAUACAAUGCAAAUCAAAGUAGUAGAGAUGAAAUAUAUCUUACUUUGAUAUAUAAUAGGGAAGAAGAAAUCAGAUAAGAGAGUUGAGAAAGUUGAGAGAAUGAAAAACAGAGAGAAUGAGAGGAAGAGAAUUUCUUUCUUUUUCUCCGGAUGUAUAUUACAGGAGAUGGGAAGCCCUUUUAUAGGCUUUCCAAAUGGCUUCCAUUAAUAUCCCCAUUAAUGAAUAUUAAUGAAACUCAUAAAUAACAUUAAUGGUUUCCAUUAAUGAGCAUUAAUAGAAGUCAUAAAUAAUACUUAAUUAACAUUAAUGUGGUGGCAUUCAUUACUUCAAUUAUAACAAGCACUUAUUUUUCUAGUUAUGUAUUAUCCCUGAUUUUGUAUAUUGUCUUAUGUUAUUUAAGUUUUGAUUUCUAUUGAAUGCUUAGAAAGUUUUUAGGAUUUAGUUUUUUUUUUUUCUAUUGAAUUCUUAGAAAGUUCUCAGGAUUUAGUUUUUCUUUAUCUUCAUGUCAUUUAGCAUGUUGUACUAUUUAUCUAAUUUUAUUAAAAAUCAAAUUUUGAAAAGUUUUGGUUUAAUUUAAUUUUCUCAACACUAUUCAUUUCAUUAGAAUUUUAUUAAAAAUAAAUUUUGAAAAGUUUAGUUUGAGUUUUAAUUUUUCGGUAAAAUCAAAUUUUAAAAAGUUAGUUUGAGUUGUAAUUUUCUAGUACUAUUUAUUUCAUUAAAAUUUUAUUAAAAAUCAAAUGAAAGGUAGGUUUUGGGAUCCAAGUUCACCUUUUCUCUUUUUUUUUUUUAAAUACCUCUAGGAAAGAAAUAAAAAAUCCUUAUUUUGUCUAUAUUGAUUGAAAUUUACUAAUUCACAUGGUCUCUUUUUUGUUUGCCCUAAAAUUAUUUUCAAAAGUAUUUAAAUCAUCAAAAGGCUUUAAAAAAAAAUUAUCCAUUCAAGGUUUAAGCAAAGAACAUAUUUUCUUUUAAAAUCAUGCAACUCAUUUCAUCUAAGUUGCAUUCUUUAUUUUUCGGUUUUUUGAAACUUUGUUUUCAUUCACAUAAGUUUAAACUUGUGCUCUCAAGCUAAUGAGAAUACUAGGUUAAACUUAUGAAUAUUCAAUGGAGACUUGAUGGAACCCUUACAUCAAAGAUUUUUAAAACUCAUGUUUGCUAUCAGUUUCAACUCAGCCACCGACCCUUUAUUAAAAAAAAAAAUUUGUUCUUGAUUGCUUGGAGUGUUUUUUUUUUUUUUUCAAAAAUAGUAUGAUGUUCCUUAUUCUUUGUAGUUGAUUUUGGAAGAAUGUUUCAACCAAAAAGCUUUUCUCAAAGUUGAGUUAUGAUAUUUUCUUUCCACACAUUAUAUUUAGCUUGAUACUAUACACACCGUGCAUGCUAGGAUUUAGAAUUUUACUAUUUGAAAUUGUUAUUUACUCUAGCCUCAUUUAUCUUAUGGAAGCACUUUGUAAAUUACUUUUGCUAUUCAAGUACGCCUCCUCACCAUUGAUCUCUUAAUUUAACAGUUGUGUAUGAUUCAUGUGUGAACGUCCCUUGCUAACUCUACUUUAUGUUUGUGAUUAACAAAGCUUACAUGUUUGUUUAAUAUAUUAUUAUAAUUUAGGUUAACACCUUAGCCUUUCCUAGUGUCCCUAAUCAAUUAGCUCAUUGUUAUAAUUUCCUCAAUUUAGUAAGUAGAGACCUUUUUAGGGCCUAGAGGGGUGCUUCCUCUGUGAGGUACCUUCCCAAUAGGUAACUAGAUUCUCGGACCAAGACUUGGGUUUUUCAAAGACAUGCUUUUCCAAAACUUAAGGCGUCAUUUUUUUAAGGGCUAUAGUUUCUUAUUUUAUUUAUUUAUUUUUAAAAUAAUAAUAAUAAUAAUAAGCAACGAAUCCAAUUUUCAUACAAAUAAUAGUUUUUUCACAAAAAAAAAAAAACAAGUAUUGUUGACGAGUGGGGACACACAUGAGAAAUUUAGGUCCACAAUAAGACUUUUUUUUUUCCUUGAAAAUUGUAUUUACUUCAUCUUAUGCUUAGAUCUUGUAGCCAUAAGGUCUUAGAUGCAUGCACUCAUGAUCCCAUCCUAACAAGUGGUGUGAGAGCACUAGGAUAGGAUUGACCUACUCAUUAGGAUUGGGCCUCUAAAAGCAAGACAUGGUAUAACAAAAUUAGACUUAACCACCCCCUUGUUAUCCUUUUGGUGUAUUAACAUUGAUUUGAGCAUUCAACCUAUGUCUCUUACUUUGUACAUAACUUAUGCACAUUAGGAGUUGCAUAGAAGAUACAAGUUGUGGGUUCCUUAUAAGUAGAUAAGUUGUCCACAGUUGGUUCAUAGAUUUAGACAAUCUAGUAGAGACUGUAGUGCACCACAUUCUAAUUUGAGGGAUGAGUUAUCUUGACCGUUGGGAUGGGUUUCCCAUGGUGAGUGCACUAGUGUAUGUGAUGCAUACUAGACAGGACCUACAGUGAAUCAUGAUAUAAGGCUAUCAAGUGUCAUGAUUCACCAAACUACUAUACCACAUGGACUCUCAACCUUGAGAGGAUAUUGAGCAUGUGCUGAAAUCAAUAGGAGGCUUUAACCUAUGGGUGAGACCCUAAAGUGGUCAUAUAUCCCUAUGAAUUGGGUCACUGUUGAUAGAGGUUGGUGGCAAUAGGUAUCUUAAUAGAGGCACCAUAAUAUCUCAUGGGAUUGAGACAAUGUGUCCCCUUAGGUGAUCCAAAUGACAUGUGAACAUGAAAUAGAUGGCCAUAGUAAUUUCUUUAGUGGAAUUUGACAUAUGCUAGCUUCUAGGAGAUGGAGUAUGUUAGUUGAUUAGAUAAUAAGUGAGAUAUGUAACUCAAGGAUUUGAGAGAUAAUGUUGAUAGGUGAUAACACUACCUUGUUAGAUUACGAACACCAAUUCAUGAAGAGUCUUCAUGUAGUGGAUAGUAGGUCAUGGACCCAAGCCUCGUCUCAUUGUUAUUUACGUUGGGUACUAGAGUGCAGAUGAUUCUAUUUAGUGAAAUGUUGAAUCAACUUUAGAAUUAGAUUAUAAGGGAGCCAAUACUCCUAUGGGUCCUAGUGGUCCCUGUUUUAAGCUCAUAUACCAUGAUGAUAGGGCUUAUGAGGGUUAGAUUGACUCUAGGUUCAUUUUGGUGCAUAAGGGUGUUUUGAUAAUUAUGUCAAGUUGCAUAGGGGAUAGUGAACAAGAUCUUUGGUUUAGGUUAAUUGAUUAAUUAGAUUGCUCUAUGUGGUUAAUUAAUCAAGUAGGACUCGUUUUGGGCUAGAUAAAGUGGCCCAAGCCUUGAUGGACUUAAGUCACUUAAGCCCAAUGGGUAAUCCUAUAAAUACCCCUCUAUAGGUUAGGAUUUCCUAAUGACUUGUGGUGAGAGUUGUCUUCCAACCCUAGAGAGAGAGAUCCAUAACCUCCUCCCUUAUAAAUCCCACACUUUGGAAUGCCAAGAUCGUGGUUCAAGUCAUCAAGCAGAAUAUCUUGGGUGUACAAGACCUUGGAGGUAGGGCUACAACACUUGGACGUGCAUAGGCCGUGUGCACAAAAAGCGCAUGGGACACACACAAACCGUGUGCACGGGAAUCGCAUGGGACUCGCACAUGGGGAGCAACAUGAGGAAAGACUCUCUGGUUUUUCUAGACAUGUUUUUCACCACAAAAAUUUGAUUUGGGAACAUCCAAAUCUAGGUAUGAGUAUUUUUUUUCUCUAGAUUUUUAUUGUAAUAUGGUUUUUAUAGUCAUAUGUUUCUACUAUAAUAAAUUUAGAGAAGCCUAGAAUAGUUUACAUGCAUCCUACAAGAUUUAGGGUAUGGGAACAAAGUAAUUCAAGGUUCCCAACACUGUAAACUUUGUUUAUAGGAGUGUUGAUUUAUCCCAUGGCCCAUAAGGGUGAAUACAUGGACAUUUAUUUUUAAUAUGAAUGAAUGAAUGAAUGGAUGCAUGUAUUAUUAUUAUUAUUAUUAUUAUUAUUAUUAUUAUUAUUAUUAUUAUUAUUAUUAUUAUUAUUAUUUGUAUCUCUUGGGUUGUAAACUUUAUAAGGAGAAUAGAAUUUUAGAUUUCUCUAUAAAAUCUUUUUCUUUUAAUGGAUGGGUUGUAAACUCCAUUUUGAGAGCAUAAUGGCUUGUAUUCUUUGUAAAAAUUUUAACUUUGGUCCAUCUAUAGUGACCCAAAAGAAAGGAUCAAAGCUUGUGAUUCAUUUAGGGGCAUUCAUAUAGAAAAACCAAUCAAGAAAGGUGAGUUUUUUCGGGACAAAAAUGAAAAAAAAAUUGAGAAUCAAGCUCUCAGCAUAGUAGUCCAAGUGAUAAUGCUCAAGCGCUACAAGCCACACCUUAAGCACUUGAGUGCUUCUGAAGGUGGCUCGAGCACUCGUAUUAUGGUAGCUACAAUUUCUCCAACAUGGGUUUAUUUUUUAUUUUUUUUUAUUUUAAGGUUUUUCUAGAAUUUUAGGUCUUUUUGUUUCUGUAACUUAAUUUUGGUUGCAUGGGUAUUUAGGCAAUUUUUUGAAUAAAUUAAAUUUUAAAUAUUUUGCUAGCUACCAAAAUUUGGGACAAGAUCCCUAAGGCUGGGGGAAAUUAUUUUAAUUUUCCUUUUUAUAUUCUUAAGCUAUAUAUAUAUAUAUAUAUAUAUAUAUAUAUAUAUGGCAUGUUGUGCAUGAAAAUUGGAAUUUUAGUAAUUUUUGAUAGAAAUAAAUUUCCUUGGAAAUUAGAUUUCAAAAGUAUAUUUUUAUUAAAUUGGAAAAGUGGUGACUAAAGAAAGAACUUUUUAUGAAAAUAAAAUUUAAAUUAAAGAGAGCAAAAUUUCAUUUUAUAAAAUCAUUUUGAAGGAUUUUAAAAUUUAUUGACUUAAAUUUAUUUUAUGAGUAUUCCUGAAAAAUAAAAGUUUUCUCUCUAGAUAAGGUGCUCUCUAUAUUUUAUUUUAUUUUAUUUUUAGAAAUUUUCUUAUUUUGAGAAUUUUGAAUUAGAAUAAUAAACAAUUUUGGAAAAUUUUGAGAUAGACAAUAAUAAGAUAUUACUAAAAAGUUUUGGAAAUUUAGUAAUUUAAUGGGAAAUAAAUUUCUAUGAAAAUAUUAAUUUCAAGAUAGGACAUUUAUUAAAUUGGAGUAGUGUAUGAGAAAAGAGAAUUUUUAAAAUUUGAAAGCAAUUUUGCUAUCAAAUUAAUUUAGGAUAAAAUUCUCUUAUGAAAAUUUUAUCAUUUUCAAAGUUCCAUUCUCUUAUCUCCUUAUGUUUCUAAUUAGGAAAUUAAUAAUUUUGAAAAUUUUUAUAGAAGAUAAUUAUUUAUCAAGGGAAUUACCAAGGAAUUUAAAAGCUCCAAUUAACUCAAAAGAUAAAGUGGGCAAGGCCUUAGCAAAGCCCACAACCUUCAUUAUCAAGUCCAUCUUGAUUUUUUGUCAUUGUCACCCCAACGGUGAGUUGGCUAAGAAAUCAAAGGAUAUGAACUUUCCAAUUGGCGAGACUAGAUAUGUUAGUAGAGUAACCACCUCAACAAUGGUUUUUUUUUUUUUUUUUUAACUUGGUAACGUUAAUAUUAAAGACAAUAUUCAUACACUUAACUUAGAAGUGGUUGAAUAAUCCAAUAUGGUCCCACUUGCAUAAUAAAGGGUUAAAUAAAAGGAUAUGUUAAUCUUGCCUUAGAGUUUUAAAAUAGAAAGAUUAAUAUGAGAAGGUCUCUACCUAGUAAUAAGAUUAAAAUAUUAAAGACAUGUUGUUUAUUUUUGUUACAUUAAUCAUGUCUUUUAAUCCAAUUACUCCCAUUCUCACAACAAAAAUUAAUUAAACAUAAUUAUGUGGAUUAGAAGAGAAACUUGGAUAUAGUGCUUACAUCAAAGGAGCUUGAAUGGGUAACUCAGGAAUUUGCUCUAAAUAAUCCUAAUAAGUAGCCCUCAAAAGAACAUGGAGAGGCAUAUAAUAGAUGGCAUAAGGCGAGAUGAGAAUGCCAAGUGUCUUAUACUUAGGUCUUUGGAUAAUUUGUUGCAACAGCAACACAUGUCUCAUGCAAAAAGUUAUGAUAUUCUCUUUAUCUAGGAAGAGAUGUUUGGUAAUAAGAAGAGUUAUGAUAGACAAGCUACCCUAAUGACUAUCAUGAACACCAAAAUGAUAAAGUGAAUUCCCAUAAGAGAUUAUAUGCUAUGUAUAAUUACACUCUCAUAGAGUGGAGAUUUUUGGAUCUAGCAUUGUCAAGGAAACCAAGGUUAAUAUGAUCUUAGAGACCUUAUUAGAUUCCCUUAGGUAGUUCAAACUCAACUAUUUUAUGAAUAAGAUGUAGAUGAACUUGUCAGAACCUAUGAGGGAACUCUAAUUGACUAAGGAAAUUCUAAAGGAUUAAAAGGAUAUUCAUAUGGCAAUCAAUCAAAGGUUUUUCAAGUUCUUCUACCAAGAAGAAGAAGAACAAGAGUAGAAGUACCAAAUAGAAGGGAAAGUUCAAGGCUUGGGAAAAGAAGAGCAAAGGAAAGGGCACAUGCUUUGGUUGUGGUAAAAAAAUAAAAAAAUAAAAAAUAAAAAAUAACCAUUGAAAAAAGGAGGAUCCUAAAAUAUAGAACAAAAAACAAGGUAUGCAUCAUAUUCUCAACUAAAUCAUGUUUAGUAAAUUUCACCAAUUUUUGGUAAGAUUUUGAGGUUAAUGACUAUAUUUGUAAUUCUUUAAAAGGGUUUCACAUAAGGAAAAGGUUGAAUGAUGGGAACAUAUAUUUGACUCUAGAUUCUAAUGUAAGGAUAGUUGUGCAAGUAGUGAAAGAUGUUACCCUUCUUUUAAAGAAGAAAUGUCUUUUAUACUCAAAGAUUGUCUUUAUAUUCCUAACUAUAGAAAUAAUUUGAUUUCACUUUCUAGUUUAAAUAAAUGUGUCUCUUUGGUUUCUUUUAAUAAAGAUGUUAUUAUUAGAAAGACUGUUGUAUUGUAAAUAUUGACACUGACAUGAGAAGAAAUAGUGCAUCAUCAACAUUAGCACCAUAUUACAAUUGAGAUCAUGUACAACAAAAAGGUUCAUUACAACUUAAAAAAAGAUCCUAUAAUUAAAGUUGUUUUUUUUUUUUAAUUAUUGAUCAUGAGAAUGAACAUGAGGACAUUUUUAAUGAGAUGUGGAUGUAUCCAUGAUUUUACUUGGUUGGUUAAUAAAACUUUACGGGUCCUUCACAAAUUAAAAGAAUUUAAUUUUUAUUUAUGCCUUAUUUUUCACAAAUGCAUUCCUAAUUGUUUAUAUAAGGGUUUAAAUUUCAUUACUUUUAUUUGAAUAUUAUGAACACACUAGUUAAUUUAUUGGUCAUUUCUAGAAUAGCAUAAUUUACCUGAUGAGCAUAGAAAAGAAGUUAUAAUAUAUGUAUUAUGUGAAUAUCAAUAAUCAUAUUUUGGUGGUUCACUUAUGAUCCCUACUUUUCUCUACUUGUAAGUUGAGGCUAAUAUAUAAGAAUAGCUCAUCCAAUGUGUUUCUAAAUACUCACACUCAAAUGUGAAAUCAAGAUGUUCUCCUUUUGAAUUUGAUUGCUUGUUCUUCAUUUGUCAUUCUCUUUCCCUUUGAGAUUAAAAAAACAAAAGAAUAAAUGGAGUAGCAAAUUAAAAAGAGUGUCAAUUCAACUAGAUAAGAGUCUAAUCAAAAUUGGACAUUUCCUUGUAGCGUCUAACUAGCAUGAAUGAAUAAGGAUGUAUGAGUUGAUCAAUCAAGUUUUGGGCCUUUAAAUAAUCAUAUCAAAUUUUCACUUUCAAUUGCUUGAGAUAUUUCACUUGGAUAUCAAUCAAGCUUGGGGUUAAGAAAUUAAAUUAUGUAAUUUUCUAUAAUAAGCUAGUUUCACAAAAUGUUUAAUGCUUCAAAAGUAAUAACUUAGGAACUAAAGAAUCAAUCCCAACAUCAGCUUUAGUUAACAAAUGCAAUGCCCUAAUUUUAUAUUUUUGCUCAUUUGAAAUACAUAGGAACAAAUACCAACAUGCAUCUUAAAGUAUUCCAAAACAAAAUACUUGAAAUUGAAUUGUUCUUUCCCACCUAAUUUGAUUGCUCGUAGCUUGGAGAUUCUAUCUUUUAAGACCAAGAAUUAUGGAUAGUACAAAAGUGUGAGUUCAAAUUGGCAUGACUUUAAUCAAAAUUUAGAAAUUUGUUUGAAGUAUUUGACUUGCCUUGAUUAAUAUGGAUAACCAUGGUUUAACUGGUGGAGGUCGGGCAUUUGACAUUAUGUAUUUAGCAGCUUGGAAUAUCCCAUCAAAACUUGAUGUGCACUAACUUAUCCAACAAAUUGUUUGAUCUUCAAAAAAAAUUAACAAUGCAAUCAAGCUUAUCCUACAAAUUGUUUGGUCAACAUCAACAAUUCUCUUACUUGAAAUUAGCGUCUUGUACAGCAUAUCCAAUGGACAAAUUUGCAAAGAAGCUCCAGCCACCUGUGCAUAUGGUCCAUUUCAUGGUCUUGGGCAUCAACACCAUUACCAUCAAUAUUCUGCAUUGCGCCAUCACAGCUUCUCUGGGCAUCAGUAUUAGUAUCUUCUACUGCUGAUCUGGUAUCACAGCUUCUCUGAGAAUGAUUACUAUUGGUAUCUUGUACAGCUAAUCCCCAUGAGAACUGCUGCCUCGUACCAUUGUGAGAUUGUUGUGUUCUUAAUCAUGGGCAUACAGAAAGUGGAAGCCACACCUCUCCACUUUCCCUGGUUUAUUACUGGAGUGGCCAUAAAAUGAAGCUUUCAAGGUUCUCCAUUCAUUUGAGUGAUAUUUCUUUGGAAUAUUUGACUUAGAAUAAUAUAUCAACCACCCUUGAUUUGAUUCAUCUUCAUCGUAGCAGCAUUCACAAGAUUGUUUAAACCGGAUAACAUCCAACAGAAAAGAUGCACUGUCAUGAUCGAAAUUCAAUUUACAGUUGAAACUCCUAUGUUUUGCGGUCUCAGUAUCAAGUGGAACAUGAAGAGAGCACAGAACAAAGCCCAAGAAGUCAUCAUUUUCAUACCAACUCCAAGGAAGUUCCAUCGUUAUUUGGAACCCGCUUUUCUGAUGGCUUAUCCACUCGGGAAUCCCAUUACUUUCAGGAAUAAAAGUUUGGACAAUGGCUCCAACUUCAACCCCCUGCACAAAAAUUACCCUCUAAAUUUGUGUGUCCAUGAAAAGAAAUGUUAAAUGCUAUAUGAAAAUCAUACCUGAAUUUGGGAUUUUAAACAUUUGAAUAAAGAAGACCAGAGUAGACUUGAUUGACUGGAUAAAUUUUCCAGGGAUGUGCAGUGAUGGGCAUCUAGAUACGUUAAACCUGAUGGAAGUUCUGGAAUAUGUUGAAGCAUCUUGCAGUGACUCAAGUCAAAAUGUUUUAGGUUGUAAAGUUGACUGAUCCCAUCAGGUAUGCGACUAAAGUGGUUCCCUCCCAGAUAUAACAUUACCAGUGAUGAUAGGUAAUAAAUUUCACUGGGAAAUUCCCUUAGAUUGCAGGCUUGAAGCAUUAAUAUCCUCAAGGAGCAUAAACCGGACAAAGACGGCAAUUGAAAAUUCAUUGAAUCUAAAUACCCAACAAAAAGAUGUUCUAAAGAUUGCAGUCUCCCCAAGUUGUCUGGCAAUUUGUUGAAGUUUGGACAGCGACUGACAACGAGAGUUUUAAAAGAUGUCAAAUUACAAAUACUCUCAGGAAGAUUCACAAGAUUUUUGCAUUGUGAUAGAAACAAAGAUUGAAGCCCUCUUAGACGUUGAAUUGAUGAUGGUAUCUCUCUUAUGGCGGUUCCAUCUAAAUAAAGCUUUCUCAAUCUCUCCAUAUCUUGCACGAUUUCUGGAAAGCUCUCUAGUUGUGAACAGCCAGAGCAGGAGAGAGCUGCAAGGGAUUUGAAACCGAAAAUGCUACUGGGCAGACUCGUAAGAUUUUUGCAAUCCCGCAGACAUAAACUAUCAAGUUCCAAGGGAUUCUCCAUAAUGGGUACUUCAUUCAUAUCACUUCCCUUAAAACACCGCUUCCGUCGGCAUGUCACAUCCUGUUGGCAUUCACUGCAUAUUCUAACAUCUGCAUCCUCUGUCUGUAUCGUUAGUGGAUGGCUUUGUUGAAGGUCUUGGGAGUAUAUAAGGCGGACUCCGCACUCCUUUACUUUCAAGGCUUUCUCAGAAAUAUUGAAAAAGUCCUGAAAUGAAGUCCCAAUGAGAGUCCAUUGAUCAGAGUGAAACCACUCCUGAAUAGCCGCCUUGGAAUAGCAAACCACCCACAUUUGACCUGAUACACUCUCAUUGUCUUCGUCCUUGCCUUCUUUAUAGCAAAAACAAUUGGAUUCAAACAGGGAAAGAUCUAUCAUUCCAACUCCAUCACCAUGGACACUCAAAGAACACUUCAGGCUACAAGAAUGCGUAUGUUCAUAUUCAUUCUUACUAAAAGAUCCAGCCACAGAUUUAUCAUCUGUUUCAUUCUCCCAUGUAUGAGCAGAUUCAUCCUCAGAUUUAUCGUCUGAUUCACUCUCGGACCCAUGUGCAGAUUCCUUUCCGGGUAUGUCCUCAGAUUCAUCAUGAAGUGGAACAUGAACACAGUAUAUAGCAAAUCCCAAAAACUCAUUAUUUUGGUACCAAUUAGCUCUGUUGUCACCAAAUAUCCAUCUCUACGAUACAUCAUCCAUUCUGGAAUUCCAUCACUUCUGGGAAGAACAAUACAAAUUCCCUUCCCAUGGUAGGAAGAAUCGCUAAAACUAGUGCGUUCCCAAUCCUGCACCAAAACACCAUGUAAAUAUAGAGUCUGCAUAAAACAAGUCUGUGACAUGAAAAUUAUACCUUUGCCCAACUGAAGCAAUUGACCAGAGAAUGCAAUGGCAAAAACGGGGCUCUUGAUGAAGUGCAAUUUGAACCAUGGGCAUCUAAAAGCCGUAGACUUGAUGGAAGCUCUGGAAUUUGUUCAAGAUUGUUGCAGUGACUAAGUUAAGGGCUUUCAGCCUUGAAAGCUGAUUGAUGGUAGCAGGUAUGCAACUGAAAUGGCCCCCUUCCAGAUUUAGUUUCUGUAAUGAUGAUAAAUGGCAAAUAUCACUAGGAAUUCCUCCUUCCAUUAUGUUGCAGUUUCCUAGGUCCAAUACUUCCAAUGAUGAUAAGUGGCAAAUAUGAAUAGGGAUUUUGUGGAGCUUUGAACAGUCUUCAAGUAGGAGAGUUUGAAGACCAUUUAGAUGUGAAAUUGAUGAUGGUAAGUCCAUUAUAGCUAUUCCACUCAAAUCAAGCACCCUUAGCUUUCCCAUAUUGCCUUUGAUUUUGGGAAAUCUCUCUAGCUUUGAACAGCCAUUGCAAGACAAAGUUUGAAGGUGUUUCAACUUGUAAAUGCCUCUUGGAAGAAGCUCCAGGUUUACACACCCUGCCAGAUUCAAGGGAAAAAGAAAAACCAAGUUAGUUUUAGUAAUUAUAAUACUGCUGCACCAAACUUUUAAGUACCGUUGUACAACCUUCUAGAGUUAGAAUCUCCAAGUUUGGCACACUUGAGAAGUCUGGGAUUUUGAUGAGAUGAACAGAGUAACUGAGAUCAAUAACCUUCAACUUCUUAUGAAGCUAGAACAAAAUAUUUUUUUUUCAAUAGAUAAGUUUACAUAAACAAUGAAAAUUAAUAUAAAAAAAGUGUAACUAAAUAAUAAUAAUAAUACCUUAUUCCCUCUCCAAAGUUGCUUUAUAUUGUUGUUCCUUAGUAAGAGUUCAACAAGGUUCUUUGCAUGAAAAUUCAUUGGCAAAUACUCUAAAGGGUAUCCAUCCCAAUAAAGAUAUGUUAACUCAUGAGAAGAAAAUUCAAAAUCUUUUGGAAGAUGGUCUUUAAGAAAUAGCUUUCUAUGAAGGCUACUGUAGACCCUCUAUUUUGUCCUCCUAGCAUAUGUCUUAUCAGGUAUUUGUUCGAUACUUUACAGCUUCCCUGGUGACCCAUUACUACUCGCAUAGCCUAUCUUUUCUAAGUCACAUCGGGGACUUUGGUUGAGGGGUUCAUUUAAUCCCAUUAUGACUCUUGGCAGCCCUAAUUUAGACUUAGGCUCACUUAGCCACCUUUGGCCCAUUAGGCACCACCUUAGACACCUUAAACCCACUUAGGCACCUUAAGUCCACCUAGGCACCACCCUAGGCCCAUUAGAUACACCCAAGGUCCAUUAGACAUUCUUUGCAUGGCUUGAGUUGCUCACAUGAUUGCAUGGUUGCAUAGAUUGCAUGACACUUUACUAUUAUUAUUAUUAUUAUUAUUAUUAUUAUCAUUAUUUACUUAAUUAUUUUGUUAAUUUAAUUUGUUUAUUUAUUUUAUAAUUUUCUAAAACACCUUUGGAUUCAUUCAUUAAGUCUAAUUUUCUUUAUGUUUUUGUAGAAAAACUCGCCAAAGAACUCAUCACUGGAGAGAAAAAGGAAGGUUGAAAACGUGUAUUGGCAAGGAUAUUCAGGCGUGAGUCUUUCGGGAAAUAGAGGAUAUUCAGUUGGAAAAAGAAAGAGGAAUUUUCAUGUGUGAUUAUGGAAAGGAAAUAUUCAGCGGGUUGAAGGAUGGAUUCAAGGUGGUUGGAAGAGGAGCGGAGUAUGGAAGGAAAUGAACUAAGAAGGCAAGCAAGUAUGCACCCAUGCAUGUGUUGAUUGUGCUUCUGAUGGAAGGAAAUGAACGAAGAAAGAAAAUUACCAAAGCUGUUUUGGCAUGGAAAAAGGAAAGGUUCAGUGUGUAUUUGGACGGAAUAAAGACUAUGUUCAGGAAGGAGAGUCCUGAUGAUGCUGGACUGACGUGGAUGAUUGAGGCUCUCCGGGCUGGUGAGUUGUCUUCCCAUGUUGGCAGAGUCCUGAAAGAGAUGAGGUGAGAUUAAAGAUGGGAGAGAAGAUCAGGUGGAGGUGUGGAAGAAAGGCAUUGGAAAACUGUGGUUCAUUGGAUGAAUACGAGAAGAAAACAACCGAGUGGGUUUGAAAAGCUUGGGUUUCUUUCAAUUGAUUGGAAUGGGAGACACAAGCUGGUGGUCUUUUGGGGGGGCAUUCUGUUUAUGACCCGGAGCAUUCUGGAGAGAGGAGCUAGAGGAUCAAGAAAGACAACGGUUCUUCUCUUUCAGGAUGGUUUUCAAUCUUUGUUUCUUUUAACGUUGAAAAAUGGCUUUGAGUGUGAGGCCACUUUACCUUCCUCUCAGAAUGAUGGCCUCUCGUUUCUAUACAUAUCCUUCCUCUCCCAUUCUCGUUUUGAUCAUUCCUCGUGGGUUCUGUUUGGUUUCCAAGAAGAAAGUGAAGGAAUAGCACGCUGGUGAGGAAGAUUGAUGCGCCAACCGCAGAACAAAGGGAGAUCUCGACCACGGGAGGAAAAUGGGGGUGGCAUGUCAGAUUUCUCCAGGAAUACGCCCCCAUCAGAAUUUUGGAAGAACAGACAUGCACCAUCAGUUUUCUUCAAGGAUGGCGGACAUGCUGGGGUGGGAUCAGACUCUGUUAUGGAUGCCAUUCAACAAAGAAACCAGCCACAAGAGGUCUCUUUCACACACUCAGUACGCUGUCAAAGAACGGGAAGGCUACCAAUCGGUCCUAGAGAGGAUUGAGGACUGAUCAUAUUGUUCUUUGAGUGGAGAAUGAACAUUCAGCAUGGGUUUGGAAAAAAACAGUAUUGUAACUCAGACGUUUAUGAAGGUUUGUGGAAAGAGGGAGUACAUGAAGGUUGUGGUAAGUAUGCUUGGAAUUCGGGAAACAUUUAUAUUGGAAAUUGGAAAAGGGGCUGCCACUUUGAAGAUCCACAACACGCACUCCACUUGGAAAAGCGGUCCACAAGGGAGACCUUCGCGGGCUGCAUCCUUGGAUCUGCACAUGCACUAUAGGAGAGAGGGCGUGACCAUCCAAAAUGAGGAAAAGAGAUUUUUAUUAAUCUCCAUGGGCGCACUAUGAGUUUGAUGAAAAGAAAAGUGACAGAAUUCAAUUUUUUUUUUUUUGGAACACAACCGUACAGUGGGGAUUCUCCAAGGCUGCCACUUUAGGGUGAAAUUUUUUUUUUUGAAAGAAAAGUGGCAACAAGCUGCUACUUUAGGGUGAGUUUUUUUUUGAAAGGAAAGUGGCAGCAUGCUGCUAGGGUGAUUUUUUUUUGAAAGGAAAGUGGCAGCAGGCUGAUACUUUAGGGUGAGAUUUUUUUUAAGAAAAGUGGCAGCAGAUUGCCACUUUAGGGUGAGAUUUGUUUUAAAAAAAAAAAGUGGCAGCAGGUUGCACUUUGAGGGGUGAGAUUUUUUUGAAAGAAAAAUGGCAGCAGGUUGCACUUUUAGAUGGUGAGAUUUUUUGAAGGAAAAGUGGCAGCAGGUUGCAUUUUAAGGGGUCCACGCCUCAAUUUCCAUAAAGAUCUUCAUGGUAUCUUCAAGAGAACCAUGAACGCCACUGAUCCCCAAAGCGAGUAGGCUGCAUCUUCCAAAGGUAAGUGAGUUUCCUUGUUCUUGAGUUUUUGAUUUCUUUUUUAUCCAUUAGUUUAUUAGUUUUUUUAGAUUGAAAAUUAGAGCUUUGUUUGCUAAUUUUUUACUUUAUUAAGUUUUCGAGUCUCUAAAGUUUUAGUCGAUUAAUUUAUUUGGUUUUAUGUCAUCAUCAUCUUGUUUUUAUUUAAUUUUAGUUCAUGGGUUCGUCCUAAUUAAUUCGUGUGAUGCCUUAAAAUUUUAAUGGAUUAAUUUAUUUGAUUCAAUGUCAUUAUCAUCAUGUUAUUUUAUUCUUUUUUUAUUUUCAUCUUAGUUGAUUCAUGUGAUGCUUUAGGUUUUUAGGUGAUUAAUUCAUUUGGUUCUAUAUCAUUAUCACUAUGUUUAUUAAUUUCAGUUAUUUUUUUUUAUUGAUCAUAUUCGGUUUAUGAGUCUUUAGAAUUUUAAUUAUCUAAUUUAUCUGACCCCUUGUCAUUAUAUCCAUGUUUUAAGUGUGUUAAGCUCUAGUUCCUGAUUGAUCCUUACUCAGUUCGGAUGUUUUAGAAUUGUAAGUUCUUAUGGUACUAUAUUUAACAUUACCUUAAUCAUAGGUUUGUGUGUUCGACUAAUCUGAUUUAAUUAUUGAUUAUAUCCUCAAUUUAUGCGCUUGACUAAUCUUUGUUUGUUCUUGAUUGAUAUCUGGUUUACUUUAUUUGAUCUAAGGCCAUUUAGUUAUUUUCUUUGACAUUUGUUCGUUUAUAUUUAAUUCAUGGAGGCCAUCGGAAAAUUGUGAAGAUUGGCCUCCAUUCACACCAUUUCAGUUUGCUUGGUUGCCAAAAAUUUUACUUUAUGAUUUUGUUUCCGUUUGUUUUGCUUGGUAUAUUGUUUCUCAUACGUUUUAUUGUUCUCAAAUUAAUUUCUCUUAUUUUAAAAUAUAACACUUUUCUCGAAAGAUUCCUUUAAAAAUCUAUUUUUAAAAAAUUCAUCUAGAGUUCUUAGAAUCAAAAUCUCGUCUUCUUAAAUAACAUGCAACCAUGUUUUGAUCGGUUCGCAUCUUUCUUAAAUUUCAAAUAAAAUUACAGUUUUAAGUAAGACAUGAAUCCAAGCUUGUGGUCCCAAACAAAUGGGAUAAUUCCAGGCUAGAUUUGUGUAUAUCAAUCGGGGAAUUGGUGAAACCCCUACAUAAAGAAAAUUUUCAAAACUCAUCUUUGUUGCCCCCUUUGUUAUUUGAUGAACUCAUGUCUAUUUAUUUUUUUAGGAAUUAUAUAGAAGAUAUAAGUGAUAAUCAAUGGUUUCGUAUACUGUGAUAAUUUUUUUUUCUAUGCUAAUUAGAUAACAAGCAUGCUAGGACUUCUUAUUUUAUUGUUUGUUAUCUAACCUCUCAUGUCUUGUGGAAGCACAUUACAAGUUAUCUAUGCUAUCUAGGUACGUCUCCUGUCACCUACCUUCUAAAUUUUGUAAAUAUGAUUGUCAUUAUGAAUUAUACCUAUGUUUGAGAAUGCUUGGGAUGUCUUGAUAUUUGCUACAUUGUUUGAUCAUUCAUGAUAAAACGCAUGUUGAGUGAUAUAUUAUCUAAACUAACCAUUGAUGUUUUAUGAUAGCACUUAAGAAGUGGUCCAGGUACGCAUCCUAACUCUCCUUUAUGAGCGUGAUUGGUUUUUCUUGUUUGGCAUGCUAGUUUUGAGAUCACCUACCUAGGUACCCUCAAUUAAUCAAUUGAUUGCCACAUUUCCUUCAACAUAGUCAAUAGAGACUUUUGUAGGGCUUAGAGGGGUGCUACCUUCUAGAGGUACUUUCCCAAUAAGUAACCUGAUCCCCGACCCUAGACUCGGGUUUUUCAAAGACAUGCCUUUCCAAAAACUAUGGAGUCAUAGGGUUUUAUUUCUUGUUUUAUUUUCCCUUUAAAAUAAAAUAAAAUAAGUGGCGACUCCGACUUUUCCAAAAACAAAAUUUUCACCAAAUAAAAGCGAGUCUCGCUGAUCGAGUGGGGGCGCACGUGAGAAAUGCGGGUCCAUAGCUACGGAUUUUAAGCAAUCUAAGUCUAUUCAUCUCUUUGAAAGAUUCUCUAUUCAGAUGUGAUGGAUUAAAUUUACAUCUAUCUAGGAAUAGUCCUUCAAUUGCUUGUGCCCCCUGAAAAAUAUAAGACUGUAAGUGAAGCACAAGAUGUAGAAAACUUAAAUGAGUCAUAUAUAUGGUAAUUAUUUUCUUAAAAAAUAAUAAUAGUAUUGAAGCUUGCAUACAGACACAUUAAACUAAGUUCAAGCAUUUGACUCUUACCAUAUUUCUUGUUAGCACAUGAUAGGCAUCAGAAUCCCACAAUCUACUCCUUCUUCCAAGGUUUUCAAGACAUUCUUGACGAAUAAUUUCCCAACCCAUCUGUUGUAUUAAAUCAUGCAUAUCUAGCAUGUUUUUUGAAAUGGUUAAGAGGCAUCUAUCAUCUAGAGUUGUUAUUCCAUACUCUGCAUAAGGACCCAAUAUUCUUGACACAUAAUCUUUGUCAUUCCCUUUGAAAAAACAUGCAACAUCCAAAAAUAUUCCCUUGUCUACAUCAUCAAGUCCAUCAAAACUUAUUCUAAGCACAUUGUGAAUUUCCAUGUGGGGUAUUGUUUUUAGCUUACACAAUGCACUUUCCCAUUCACUUCUUGUCUUUCCAAAAAGAGACCCACCUAAAACUUUAAGUGCUAAUGGAAGGCCAUUAGCAUAAUCUAUGAUAUUGUAUGAGAGGUUUUUAUAAACUUCUUUGGGAAGAUUGUGUUGAAAGGCCCACAAACUAAAGACUUCAAUAGCUUCUUUCUUAUUUAAUUUUGAAACCUCGUAUGAUAUAUCUACUCCAUAUUGAGCAAGCACUUGUUUGUCUCUAGAUGUAAUGAUGAUUGUACUUUUGGCCUCAAACCAAUCCUUCUCUUCAGCCAGAUAUUCUAGUUGCUUCAACUCGUCUACAUCGUCAAAAAUAACAAGAACUCUAUUGGAGCUGAGACACCUCUUUAUCAUACUAAUUCCUUCAUCAAUAUUGUUUACUUUAAAAUUUUUCCCCUUUAGGAUACCAUGAAGAAGUUCUUGUUGUAAUUGAAGUAUAUCACCUUUGGAUCUCUCUCUGAUAUUUUUAAGAAAGCUACUACCAUCAUAUUGAUAUGAGAUCUCAUUAUAAAUAGCCUUAGCGAUAGUAGUCUUACCAACCCCACCAAUUCCACAUAUCCCAACCACGCUAACCUUAUUCAAGUUAGUGUUCAUCAAUGAUUUCAAUUUUUCCAAAUGAACACUAACUAUGUUCUUUCCCACACUUAAAGGUUGAUGGUUUAAUCUUCUAAUGAUUGUAUUAACAAUUUCUUUGACAACCUCAGUCUCAUACCUAUCAAUUAUAUAAAUUAAGUACAAUGAUGAGUUAGAAUGAGUUGCAAAAUAUAAUAAAUGUACAAUAAAUUUAGUUGUGUAUGGUAGUGUCCAAUAUUACUGAAUUAGUAGCAAUGGAAUGCAAAAGAAAGGGGCCCUGAAGCCAAUUUACUUACAUAUUUAAGCUUCAAAAUUUGCAAGUAUCAAACUACUAAUGUGCCAAGUUGCAAAUUUUCAAUACUCUUACUGUUGGACCAUUGUUUAGGACUCCUCUCUGAACAACCGAAUGACUUCUUUCAACUUUUAUUUCACAAAGAAGUUGCUUAUGAUUCCUCAAUUUCACUUGUCUUUAGGUUCUAUUAACUUAUCAAUACUCUUACGAUUGUUGCAAGGACUUCAUUUUUAGUCUGCCAAUUAAUUUUGCAUUUCCAUAGAGGAAUGAGGAAACAAGUGAAUGUAGAAAAUUUCAUGAUUUGCUUGAGGAUUAUGAACUUAAAUAUGAUAGAAGAAGUGUCAAAGUACACUUUAUAGAAAAUUAAAAGUUAAAUUUUGAUACUUGUACUUUUGGACCAACACAGGGAAAAAUUGAAGUUAGAAUUUGUUAACAUUUUCAUAUUCAUGAGGAACUAAAGCUUCAUUAUGAGAAUAAACUUACAAGUAAAAUCAUUCCAAAAGAGAAUGAUAGGAAUGUUAAAGGGCAGAGUUUAGGGUAAAUUAAUCCAAACGAGCUUGAAAGGUCAAAGGGACAAAAUUGUUACUCCCUUCAAACAUAAUAAAAAUCCAUCAUGAAGAUUAUAGAACAAACUUAGCAUUGAUAUUUUUGCAGUGAGUAUGCAUUGAGUGCAUGGGAAUUAAGACUUUUUGAAGAAUAAACACAAAAAAAAAAAAAAAAACAAGCAAAAAUAUAAAUUGAAACUUAGGAAAUCGAGGGAGAUGCAUGGGAAUCCUUGCAGUAAGUGAGCAUGGAAUUUAAAGGGAUUAUGCAAUCACUGUGCCUUAUAGCAAAAUAGGAUAUUGAUUAAAAGGAUUUAAAAAUUGCACAUAAAAUCCCUAAAGAAAUAUUCAAUGAAAAGAAAUAUCAAAUAACUUCCAUGUAUUGAAAAUUGCACAUGUAACCUCCUUUUGAUACGUUAUUAGUUUUUACUAACUUUUAUCCAAAAGUGUUUGAUGUGAGAUUGAAAUUAAAAAAUUAGUUAAGGGCAUUUUUGUCCAAAAGAAGUUAUAUUUCAUAUUUUUGAAAAAUGAAAGUUAUUCUUCCGAAUUUGCAUUUUCAAUAUUCCAUUUAAACAGAUAACCCAUUUCUACACAAGAGGUGAAGAGAAGCAUACUUACUGGUCAUCCACAUGGCAUCCACAUAGAUUAGCUGCUUUUCUCAAGGCAAUCCUCCACUUUUGUACCAUCUCUUUCUUUUCUUGAUUUGCAUCUCUUUCAUGGCAGGCAAGUGCGUCUCCGAAACUUCCCUUUUGGUUUCGUACAUCAGAUGGAUCCACAUGGUAGAAAAUUGGUAGAACCAGUGAUUCCUUUUGGCUCUUGCGUUCAAUGAUCUUUACAAGUUCAUUUAAACACCAUCUGGAGUAAGCAUAAUUUUUUGAGAAAAUAAUAAUAAAAAUCCUCGAUUCUUCUAUAGCUCUUAAGAGAUCAGAUGCAAUAUCUCCCCCUUUCUCAAGUUCUUCAUCAUCUUUGAAAGAAUGAAUCCCAUAUGCAGUCAAAGUGGUAUACAGAUGAUCAGUGAAAUUUUUGCGAGUGUCACCACCUCUAAAACUCAAGAACACAUCAUAAUUACGAGAAAUAGAAGUAGCAGAAGAGGCUCUACGGGUGCUGGAAGAAGCCAUUUUUGGAUGGCUUGAACCAAAAUUACCAGGGAGUUUGGAAUCCAAGAAAAUCAGAGAGAGGGUCCUUGGAUGCUCAAUGACUAUUGGCUCCAAACCUCUUCACCAUGAACAAAAAUGCAAGCUGGGAGGGAGGUUCAGCUAAAAAGGCUCAUCUGCAAUCAUAAAAGAAAAAAAAAACAUAUAUGAAGCCUCUUUGACAAAUUUCUUUGUAUAUAAAUUCUAAGAGAAACUCACACAUAUUUUACCUCUUGGUUGGGGAAGAUCCUUUCUCCAUUCCCUUUGUGUUGGAGACUGCAUUAAGGGAUGCAGAGAAGAUGGUGGGGAAGGUGUUGAAGAAGAGGCGGUGGGUAGCAGAGGUCUCGUUGACUAGUGGAUGGAAUGGAGUUGAGGAAUUCUAAUAUUUUGAAAUGAAAUUUCAUGGAAGGUGUUGUUUUUAGUUUUUGUUUCCACAAUAUUGGUGCGGCAGCUAGAGGACAUAAUUAUGAUGAUGAGAAAUCCCUAUUUAAGACUAAAAAGUAAUGCUUUUCUUUUUAAUUAAUCAUAUACUUAAUUUUUGUCCUUCCAUUUCAUAUUCUAAUUGUAAUUUGUUUUAUUUUUGUCUCUUGUAUUUUGAUAAUAUUAUUUUUUUAUAGAUAUCGAUUGAAAAAUUUUGUCAUCUUUUUAUGAAAUUUAUUAGAUUUUUUUUAUUAAAAAUAUAGAUUUUUAUAAAUAUAUUAGUAAAUCGGUUUUAUAUAUAUAUAUAUAUAUAUAUAUAUAUAUAUAUAUAUAUAUCAUAAUAUAACUGAAAAAUAUUAAUGAAACAAAAAACAAUUAAAAAUUAUAUAAAUGUCUAUAACAAUUCUAAGAAAUGAAUAGAAAAAAUAAUAAUAAAUAUUUUGAUGUUGUUUUAUUAAAAAAAUUAAUAUAUAUAUAUAUAUAGAUAUAUGAUAUAAUUUAUAAUAUUUAGAAUUUAAAAAUAAAUUUUAUAUAAAUGUAUCUAAUUCGAAUGUAUCUCAUGACAUAAAAGGAAUGAUGAUAAUUAAAUUAAUAUAUUUGUAAUAAUUUUAUUUAUAUACAUAAAAAACAUAUAUUAUAUUUAUAAAUAUGAAUAUAUAAAAAUGAGAAUCUUAAUAUAAUAUACAUAAAUAAAUAUUGUAUAUAUAAGUCAAACAUAACAAUAUAAUAUUAACAAAGUUAGGUUGGUGGCGUGCUGCUCUCACUCUAUGCCUGAGGUCAUGGGUUUAAAUAAUUUAUUUUUGAACCAUCGGCCAGCCGUAGCACUUAAAGUUUAAAUCUUUUCUUAAAGGUAAAAGGUGGAAUGCCACAUGACAUCGAACCUCGUAGAUCAUUGGGCAGGUAGCGAAGUUUGAAUGCGCAUGGUGGGCUGGGCCGACGUGGGCCGAGAUAUUUCCGAUACCUUCCAUCCUUUAUCAUACCCAAUAAAUUAUGCACGCAAAAACCUCCCAUAUAAAAUUUUAGAGAAGAGAUUUCCUUGCAUUUCCAACCAUUUAAUUAUUUUUAAAUACACCUUUGAGAAAAGGGGUUUGCUCUGACAACCCAGGCAGGAAUUCCUUCUUGUAGGUGUGCUUGCCGCUUGCCGCUUGCCGCUUAUCUCAACCCGAACAACCCCAGAGCACAGUUAGACCAACCAGCACUAACACAUUUGACAUUCAUUCCAGAGCCUCCUUAUUUGCUCUCAAAUCAUUCCAAAGAUGGUGUUAUAUAAGGAAUUUCUUAAAAAUGUGCUUGUCAAAGUUAUAUCAAAUUAUCCUUUGUUUGAUACCAAUAAGAAUUUAAAAAUCUCUUAACUUGAAGAUAUUGAAAGGAUUUUGUGGACCCCGCAUUUCGGCUCAUGCGUUUCCCACUCGAAAGCGAGCUCGAUUUUUAUUUGAAAAAUUGAUUUUUUAUUGAUUAAGAAAACUGACUUGGAGUCGCCACUUAUUUUUGUUUUAUUUUUAAAAGGGUAAACAAAAUAAGAAAGAAAAACCCUAAGUGUGACUCCUUACUUUGGAAAAGGUGGUCUGUGAAAAACCGGAUCGGGUUCGGGGGUCAGGUUACUUAUCGGGAAGGUACGGUAAAGACCGUAGCACCCCUCUAAGUCCCUAAAGUCGGGUCUCUACUAAUAAAAUGAAGCAAUCAAUGGCAAUUGAUGAGGGAAUCAAUGAAUACUCAGAGUGAUCCUGCACAUGUGGGAAUCUAAACAUGCAUACAGAAAAUGACCCAAGCGGGUGUGGAUGCGUACCUGGGCAGUGAUCCAUAAAGCGCUAUCAAGAAGUGAGGUUAGCGCACAAUUAAAGAAUAAUUUCGAGCAUGUCAUAGAGCGAAAUAAAAUCGAUCAUGCAUGACAAUUAAAUCAAACAAACAAUCAAUCAAUCAUAAGGGAAUCACAUAUGUUGGGCCCCCACCAAAACCCGAUUUAUAUUGCAUGAAUUAAUCCUACGAAUCCCAUUAUUUCGGAAUUAUGAAGAUUCAUCAUUCUUGCUUGUGUAAAAAUCAAAAGAAAUAGAACAUUAUUUAAAAAUCGGAGUGAAAUUAAAACUAUUCGAGAGAAAACUGGGUUUUUGAGAUUUAUUUGGAAAUUAGAGUUUCGAAAAUUAUUUGAAGAUUGGAGUCUUGAAAAAUUAAAUUUAAGAAUUGGGAUUUUGGAUAUUAAAUUUGAAAGAAAUUAGAAUUUUGGAAAUCGGAAAUUAAGUUCAGAAAUUGGAAUUUUGAAGAAUGUUUAAAAUGGAAUUUCAAAAUAAAUAACUAAAAUAAUAAUAAUUAAAUAGAUUAAUGUGAAUAUCAGAAUUUUCAGAAUUAGAAAUUAAAAUCGGAAGUUGGAAAUUUUAAUGAAUUGUUUAAAAUUGAAUUUUAGAAUAAACAAAUGAAAUAAUAAUAAUAAUGAAAAUAAUAAAGAUUAAAUAAAUAAAUAUGGAAAUUGGAAUUCCGGAAAUUAGAAAUUGAAUUUAGAAAUCGGGAUUUUGAAGAAUUACUUAAUGAUGGAAUUUUAAAUAAAUAAAUAAAUAAACAAUAAUAAUAAUAAUAAUAACAAAAAUAAUGAUUGAAUAAAUACAUAUGGAAAUUAGAAUUCCGGAAAUUAGGAAAUUGAGUUUGAAAAUCGGGAUUUUGAGGAAUUGCUUGAUGAUAGAAUUUUAAAUAAAUAAAUAAAUAACAAGAAUAAUGAUUGAAUAAAUAAAUAAGGAAAUUAGAAUUCCGGAAAUUAGGAAAUUGAGUUUGGAAAUCGGGAUUUUAAGGAAUUGCUUGAUGAUAGAAUUUCAAAUAAAUAAAUAAAAUAAUGAUGAUUUAAAUAAAUUGAUGUGAGAAUUUAAAAUUUCGGAAAGUGGAAUUUAAAUUUAGAAAUCGGGAUUUUGAGGAAUUGUUUGAAGAUUGAAUUUUAAAAAUAAAUAAAUAAAUAAAUGAAAUAAUGACGAUUAAAUAAAUUGAUGUGAGAAUUAAAAUUUCAGAAAUUGGAGUUUAAAUUUAGAAAUCAGAAUUUUGAGAGAUUAUUAAAGGUUGAAUUUUAAAAACGAACAAAUAAAUAAAUAAAUAAAAUAAUGACGAUUAAAUAAAUUGAUGUAAGAAUUAAAAUUUCGGAAAUUGGAAUUUAAUUUGGAAAACGGAAUUUUGAGAGAUUAUUAAAGGUUGAAUUUUUAAAAAAUGAACAAAUAAAUAAAUAAAUAAAAUAAUGAUGAUUAAAUAAAUUGAUGUAAGAAUUAAAAUUUUGGAAAUUGGAAUUUAAUUUAGAAAAAGGAAUUUUGAAGAUUCUUAAAAGGUUGAAUUUUUAAAAAAUGAACAAAUAAAUAAAUAAAUAAAAUAAUGAUGAUUAAAUAAAUUGAUGUAAGAAUUAAAAUUUUGGAAAUUGGAAUUUAAUUUAGAAAAUGGAAUUUUGAAGAUUCUUAAAAGGUUGAAUUUUAAAAAUGAAUAAAUAAAUAAAAUAAUAAUGGAGAAUUAAAUUUUGAUAUUGAGAAUUAAAAUUUCGGAAAUUGGAGUUUAAAUUUAGAAAUCGGAAUUUCGAGGAGUAGUUUAAAGAUUGAAUUUUAAAGAUAAGCAAGUGAAUAAAUAAUGGUGAUUAAAUAAAUGGAUGUGAGAAUUAAAAUUUCGGAAAUUGGGAUCAAAUUCGGAAGUCAGAGAAUUAAGAUUGUUUAAAGAAGGAAAACUUGAAAUAAAUAAAUACAAUAAUAAUAACGAAUAUAAUGAUUAAAUGAAUGAACGAGAAUUUUGGAAUUUCUUCAAAUCGGAAAUUGAAUUUAAAGGUUGGAAAAUUGGAAUUGGAUAAGGAAGGAUAUUUUGAAGUAACUAAAUGGAAUAAUAUUAAUAAGAAUGAUAGUUGAAGUUUUUGAAAACUAGGUUUUAAAGAUUGGAGCUUUGGCAACUAGAUUAAAAUUUUGAAUCUUGACAAUUAACUUUGGAAAUUAAAAAAAAAAAAAUAUUCUAAAAUGGAAACUUUAAAAAUUAGAUUUAAAAAGAGAACUUUGGACAAUUAAACUAUGAGAAUAUGGAUUUUGAAAGUUAAACACUGGAAAAUUGAAAUAAUAAUAAUAAUAGUAAUAAUAACAACUUAAUAUUGAGAACUUGAUAUUGAGAAUAUGGAAUUUGGAUAAAUGAAUAAGCAUAUAAGUGAAUAAUAUAGUGUACGUGUGCAUGAAAUAAAAAAGAAUGAAUAAAAGAAACUAAAGGGCUUUAGAGAGGGGUUUAGGAUAAAGGAUAUGCAGAUUUGGGCCUUUAGGAAUGGACCUUGGGCUUUGAAAAGGGGCUAAGGGUUGGAAAUGGGCCUUGGGCUUCAUCUUCAUCCUAGUUCCUCCACAGCCCAACAGCAUCCCCUCCAGCUGGGCAACUCCUUCAGGAUAUCUCCACCAGCACCGACGUAGAGAGAGACUUCACCACCGGUGGCAAGAUGGAGAGAGGAGCCAUGGCGGCGGUUCGGCGGCAACCUGAAGGUGCAGCCGUCAAGGUGGCUGGUGCGAGUGCUCGCCUGGCCGGGGCGGGUGGUGGCGGCUGGCGAGGUGAGCAAGCACCUCGCCGACGCGGUACACGCAGCGAGAAGGAGCGGGGAGGGGCGGCACGCGUGCAUGGAAGGUUGUGAAGCUCCCCAGGCCUCCGACAAACGCGUCUCUGAUGAAGACGGUAGGAGCGAUGACGGGUAUGAGGAGGAAGAUGGUGGAGGCGACUUGCAUGUUUGGACCCCAUGUGUGCAGAAGGGCGGCUUGGGGAGUCCUCGUGGAGAUGGGUAUGGCGGUUAGAGAGAGAAAAGGUGGCAAAUAUACAUGGGUAUGAGAUGGGAGAGAUAUAGGUGACGCAGCGGACUAGACGAUACAAAUCAGGUUUGAACUGAGGAUUCGGUGAAUUGGAAACUUUAACUAAAAGCUACAGGGGACUUUCUUAAGCUAUGCAUGAUACAAGGGAAUGAGUUGUGAGUUGUUGAGGGCAGCGAUGGAGUGAGAAUCUGGUGAAACAUGAAUAUAUCUAGCCUCAUUUCAAAUAUCAUCCAUGGGCCGAUACAGGUGAAUGAUAAAGAGCAUCAACGUGAUUCAUAACGAACCCAUGUACUCGAUGGCCUCUAAAGAAAAUCACAAAAAUGAGAUAAUAGCAUAGCAAACAUACCCAAGCAGUGAAUGAAAGCUUAAACGAUCGAGACAAGUGCAUGAAAAAUAAUACGAUAAGAAAAUAAUGAACAGAAAACCCACAAAACUUAUACCUGGGAGUGCUCUUUCUUAGCGAAAACCAAUCAGAAAAACCAUGAGUCUCCCCCGGUUCAGCAACUCUGCCUCCCUCCUAGAUAGCUCACUCUUUUCUUCUUUCCUUUUUUCCGAAACUCUGUUUUCCUUUUCUCCUUUUUUUUAGCUUCCUCUCCAAGCCAUCUCUGUACCCCAUCCCAUCUGCCGUCCCAGAGCCUCUCCUAUCAGUCUCCUUUUUGCUACCCCAAAAACAGCCCCUGACCAUCAUGUCGAGCGGCUCCGGAAAAAAGGUAGGAAAAAGAAAAGAAAUAAAAUAAAUCCAAAGAAAACUCUCUGCCUCCGGGGGGUCUACAAAUAUGCCCCUCUUUGAUAGAGUUCACGAGUGUAAGGAACGUGAACACUGGAGUGAAAAAGAAGUGUGAAAAGCGAGUGAAAUGAAGUGAACUCUAUCGAAGAACAAAGAAAGACCCCCGAACCCAAAAGGUACAAGUAGAACACAAACUCACUCAAGGCUCUAAAAUUCUAAGAGGCUCAAGGCACCUCUAAAGCUGCAUCAAGGACCCAGACUCCCUCUAAGAUGUCUCUAAAAGUGACCCAAGAGAUCAACAUCAAAGAUGAGUAACGGUCGAACCACCCUGGAGUACGAGCAAGAAUGCGCCCAAAGGGGACUACCCUAUGUGGACUACGAGAUGAAUAGGCGAUAAGCGCAGGAUAACGGAGUGAGGAAAAAAACCGAGGAAGAAUGUAAAACCAUGAAGGCAAGAUGCGCAAAGCCAGCGGAUAUGAACGUCAGGAGUUGUGACUCUGGAUGACAAGGCCGACUCUAAACACUUAAACCAAGAAAAUAAAAGCUCUAGAAGCCAAACCAAAAAGCGAACCCUAAAAGCUAAACUGAAAAAAUAAUAGUUCUGGAAGCUAAAACAAGACGAUAGUGAUGGCUCUGGAAGCCUAAACGAGGCGACAGUGAUGGCUCUGGAAACCUAAACAAGAUGACGGUAAUGGCUUUGGAAGCCUAAACGAGACGACAGUGAUGGCUUUGGAAGCCAACCAAAAAGCGAACUCUAAAAGCUAAACUGGAAAAAUAAUAGCUCAGGAAGCUAAAACAAAACUAACUCUAAAAACUAAACUAGAAAAUAAUAGCUCUGGAAGCCAAACCAAAACGACAGUGAUGGCUCUGGAAGCCUAAACGAGGCGACAGUGAUGGCUCUGGAAGCCUAAACGAGGCGACAGUGAUGGCUCUGGAAGCCUAAACGAGAUGACAGUGAUGGCUCUGAAAGCCUAAACGAGACGACAGUAAUGGCUCUGGAAGCCUAAACAAGACGAUAGUAAUGGCUCUGGAAGCCUAAACGAGAUGACAGUGAUGGCUCUGGAAGCCUAAACGAGAUGACAGUGAUGGCUCUGGAAGCCUAAACGAGAUGAUAGUGAUGGCUCUGGAAGCCUAAACGAGAUGACAGUGAUGGCUUUGGAAGCCUAAACGAGAUGAUAGUGAUGGCUCUGGAAGCCUAAACAAGAUGACAGAAAUGGCUCUGGAAGCCUAAACGAGACUACAGUGAUGGCUCUGGAAACCUAAAAGAGAUGGCAGAAAUGGCUCUAGAAGCCUAAACAAGAUGACAGAAAUGGCCCUGGAAGCCUAAACGAGAUGACAGUGAUGGCUCUGGAAGCCUAAACGAGAUGGCAGAAAUGGCUCUGGAAGCCUAAACGAGAUGGUAGUGAUGGCUCUGGAAGCCUACACGAGAUGGCAGAAAUGACUCUGGAAGCCUAAACGAGAUGGUAGUGAUGGCUCUGGAAGCCUAAACAAGAUGGCAGAAAUGACUCUGGAAACCUAAACGAGAUGACAGAAAUGGCUCUGGAAGCCUAAACGAGAUGACAGUGAUGGCUCUGGAACCUAAACGAGAUGGCAGAAAUGGCUCUGGAAGCCUAAACGAGAUGGUAGUGAUGGCUCUGGAAGCCUACACGAGAUGGCAGAAAUGGUUCUAGAAGCCUAAACGAGAUGGUAGUGAUGACUCUGGAAGCCUACACGAGAUGGCAGAAAUGGCUCUGGAAGCCUAAACGAGAUGGUAGUGAUGGCUCUGGAAGCCUACACGAGAUGACAGUGAUGGCUUUGGAAGCCUAAACGAGAUGGCAGAAAUGGCUCUGGAAGCCUAAACGAGAUGGUAGUGAUGGCUCUGGAAGCCUACACGAGAUGGCAGAAAUGGCUCUGGAAGCCUAAACGAAAUGGUAGUGAUGGCUCUGGAAGCCUACACGAGAUGGCAGAAAUGACUCUAGAAGCCUAAAAGAGAUGGUAGUGAUGGCUCUGGAAGCCUAAACAAGAUGGUAGAAAUGACUCUGGAAACCUAAACGAGACGAUAGAAAUGGCUCUGGAAGCCUAAACGAGAUGGUAGUGAUGGCUCUGGAAGCCUACACGAGAUGGCAGAAAUGGCUCUGGAAGCCUAAACGAGAUGGUAGUGAUGGCUCUGGAAGCCUAAACGAGACGACAAUGAUGGCUCUGGAAGCCUACCAAAAACUAACUCUAAAAGCUAAACUAGAAAAUAACAGUUCGGGAAGCCAACAAAAAAAAACUAACUCUAAAAGCUAAACUAGAAAAUAACAGCUCUGGAAGCCAACAAAAAAAAAACUAACUCUAAAAGCUAAACUAGAAAACUAAUGGCUCUGGAAGCCGAACCGAAAAUCUAGUUCUAAAUGCUAAACUAGAAGGCCCACAGGUGAACUAACAGUAGGGGAAUGCCUUAAACAAAGUAAACAAGGGGGAUGCCUCAAACAAGGCGACAGGAAAGGGGGAUGCCCUAAACAAACUGAAAGUAGGGGGAUGCCUUAAACGAACUAAAGGUAGGGGGAUGCCGUAAACAAAAGCGACAGUAAGGGGGAUGCCCUAAACAAAGUGACGAUAGGGGGAUGCCCUAAACGAGCUAAAAGCAGGGGGAUGCCCUAAACAAAGUAAAGGUAGGAGGAUGCCCUAAACAAACCUAAAGUAGGGGGAUGCCCUAAACAAAGUGAUGAGAACGGGGAAUGCCCUGAACAAAGAUGACAGUGGGGGAUGCCCCAAACGUAAAUGACAGUGGGGGGAUGCCCCAGACGUAAUGACAGUGGGGGGAUGCCCCAAACGUAAAUGACAGUGGAGGGAUGACCCAAACGUAAAUGACAAUGGGGGGAUGCCCCAAACGUAAAUGACAGUGGGGGGAUGCCCCAAACGUAAAUGACAGUGGGGGGAUGCCCCAAACGAAAAUGACAGUGGGGGGAUGCCCCAAACGAAAAUGACAGUGGGGGGAUGCCCCAAACGAAAAUGACAGUGGGGGAUGCCCCAAACGUAAAUGACAGUGGGGGGUUGCCCCAAUAGAAAAACGCUAAAAGGGGGUAUGCCCCAGUAUGACGACUCGCAAAGAUCAAGAAAUGGACUGAGUAAUGAGAAAGAUGUGCAAAACAACCGAUGUACUCAAAGACGGGGGUAUACCCCAGUGUGGCAUGCCACUGCAAAUCUCAAUCCGCUGGAAAUGGCUGAAAGGGACUCUACGAGUCUCAAACGACGCUCCGCUGAGAGCUCAGGAAUAAUGGUCAGUGAGGCGAAUACAAUAUAUCUCGAUCGAGUGAUGAAAACUGUAACGGAUACGUGAGAGAACGAUCGCCUCCAGGGCUAAAUGAAGGCAAUAUACCCCAGUAUGACAUCAAAUGUACCCAAUCUGUCCUGAUGACCCGAGAAUAACACCAAUGGGAUGCGUAACGGAUCUGAUAUGUACCCCUCUGAAAUGAUGACGCGGGAAAUCCAGGCACCAGAGACAACUCCAUCCAGGAAUCACGACUAUAUCAAAGGGUAUGAAUCUGGCUGAAUGACUCAAGAGAGGCUCCUCGGAGUAUCUAGACAAAAUAAAAUCAAACAUCGACCUGGCGUGUAUCUCAUAACCGUGGAUGAUCAUGUAAACCAGUGGGGAUCUAUAAAUCUCGAUCAAGAUGGGGAAUGUGCCCCAAUGUGGCAUCGAGAAUGCAAUACAUCAAAAAAUCAGAUGAGCUCAGGUCAUCCAUGCCUGGCUAGAUGGCUCUCGAUAGGCUCCACUAAGGAAUCAUCGUGAGGAUAGCGAAUAUAUCAUCAUCUCUGCAUACAUCUCGCCAAAUAAGGAUAAGCACGCGACUCCCUCAUGAUCUGUAAAUCUCGUCCGAAUCGAAAUAUGCCCCUGUAUGGCAUCGAAAUGUAUGAUAGGUCGGAGAUCAGAUAGCAUGGAAUCAUCUAUCCUCGAACAUGUGACCUCUGCGAAGAUCCAUAAAGAUCCUCCGAAACGGAAUAUGCCCCAGUAUGGCAUCAGGUGCGCGACAGGUCUGAAGAACAAAUGUCAUGAAAACAGCCAUCAUCGCACAUGUGAUACUGGUCAUCCGAAUCCAUAACUGAAUCAUGCACAUAUAUCCAAGAUGACCUCCCAGAUGGAGAGGCAUGAUGGCAUCCAAGCGUCGAGAAGUGCGGAACUAGCAGGAUGGAUCUCAGGGGCUCCGUAAGGUAACGACCAUGUCCACGUCUCAGUGAGCAUCCAGUAAGUGGUAAUGAUCGUGUAGAUCUGUGAGGAUCCAUAAACCUCCAAAUGAAAUGGGAUAUGCCCCAGUGUGGCACCAGAGGUAUGAUAGGUCAAAAAUCAGGUGACACCAAAUCAAUCGGCAUCAAACUCACGAUCCUGGUAAUCCGAACACAACUGAAUCAGACCUACACAUCAAAGAGGCGACUCCCAGAAGAAGAAGCAUGACAAUAUCUAAAUAUCAACCAGAUCUCAAUCACCUGUCCAAGUAGAGGCUGCUGAAGACGACAUCUGAUCCCAUGGCCUCAGGGUGGUCUUAAGACACGGGACGUAACGUAGGCCAAGGUGAUAGGGUGAUAGAAAUGAAAGAAAACUAGGCUCAAAUACCCAAUGAUCAAAACUCAUGCCCUCAUAUAUGAAAUGCAACAUGUAUAGUGAACCUCAUGAGCCAUGGACCUGAGGAUGCCUAAUGUGAAUAUGAUAUCGAUAAGGAGACAAAUGAAACAGGAUGAACUGAUAGUGAUAUGUGUAAUGAUGAUGCGAAGUGAGCAUCGAACCUGAGAUGGGUCGCUGUAAGGAGAGAAUGAGACGCGAAGGGAAUGAGAUGAAUCACAAGCAAUGAUAAAAACGAUAGCGAAACAAUGAAUACGUGAAGAAAAGUGGUGAUCGACCCAGAUCAAACAUGAAGUGAAGUCACAUCAAUAAUGAAUGUAAUGAUGGAAAGGACAAUGACUCGGAGUCCUUAGGAGAAGGUCACUCAUAUCUCUCACAAAUAGAUAUGACGAAGCAAUACAAAUAACAUGGGAUUUCAGAGAGCUCACAUACGAACUCCCAAUAACGAACAUACUCGAUAAAAAUGACCCCCAGACAUCAAUAUACAUACCCAAUGAUCGAGAAUACUAUGCACAUACACACAUGUGCUAAUAAUAAUAAUAAUAAUAAUUUUCUUUUUCUUUUUCUUUCUUUUUUCCUUUUUUUUUUUUUUUUUUUUUUUUUUUUUUUUUUUUUUUUUUUUUUACAUAUAUACAAAUGCUCGUACCCUGAACGUGAGCAAAUGAACCCCAAAGAUGAUAUCAAUAACAAAUGGACACACCCCCAAGUGCUAAGGUAACCAACAAACUCUCUCUAACAAGAUGACCUUCUCAAACUAAGGAUCUCUAAACCAAUGUCCGUGAGAUAGAUGGUGGAAAUGAUGUGACUAUCCUCCAUGUGAUGAACUGAGGAGGCUCACCACUCAGGGUGGAGAGAAUAUGAGACAAACAAAUAGUAGAUAGGAUAAGGAAGAAGAGAUGAAUAGCAUAACCAAUAAGAUGAGAUGAAAAUGCAGAGGUGUAGUGAUAGGAAAAGAUAAUGAGAAAAACAUGCCCCUAGGUCCAAAGCUCAUGAAACUACCAAACAAUGCAUGCAUACAUAAAAGGGCCCCUAUCCCGGUGUGAAAAUGUGAGCAAGGCGAUAAGAAAGAAAGGCUAUAAUGCGCAUGCGAGGCUCAAUGGGCUAGCAACGGACUAUGUAUCAUAAAGGAAUAACAAGGUAAUGGCUAACCGAAAUGACGGCCACCCAUCCUGCGACCAUGGUCUCAAACAUAGUACCUCUUUAGCUGAUCCACAUUGGUUGGCUCUGAGAAUCGGUUUCCAUCUAAAUCCAUCAACCAUGCAGCGCCCUCUGGGAUCAACUCCCUGAUGAAAUAAGGUCCGCUCCAGUUGGGUCUGAACUUCCCUCUAGGAUCUCUGAUCAAUCCCCUGAUGACUUUCAAGACUAAGUCACCUACAUGCAGUGGUCUGGGCUUGACCCGCUUUUUGAAAGCGCGGGCCAUCUUCCUCUGAUAUGCACGAACAUGGUCUACUGCUCUCAAUCUCCUCUCAUCUAGGAGAUUGAGCUGAUCAAAUCGAGCCUGAGCCCAAUCUGUCUCGGGAAUCUGCUGCUCUAGUGCUACCCUCAACGAACCCAUCUCAAUCUCAACGGGUAGCACCGCCUCCAUGCCAUAUACCAAUGAGUAGGGUGUGGCGCCUGUAGAGGUGCGAAAAGAGGUCCGAUAAGCCCACAAUGCAAAUGGGAGCUUCUCUGACCAAUCCCGAGAAGUCUCGACCAUCCUCCGUAAUAUCCUCUUGAUAUUCUUAUUCGCGGCCUUUAUUGCCACAUUCGUCUGCGGCCUGUACGCAGACGAUCUAUGAUGCCGGAUGCUGUAUCUCUAUACUAAGGUAUCAACCUCUGCUCUGAAAUGUACUCCUCUAUCUGAAAUCAACUCAUGAGGGACUCCAUAGCGACAGAUAAUGUGUGAUCUGAUGAAACUAGCGACUCCAGCUGAUGUCAACCUCGCAUAUGAGGCGGCCUCCACCCACUUGGUGAAGUAAUCGAUGGCGACCAGGAUGAACUCAUGACCACUGGAAGAUUUCGGUGAAAUCUUCCCGAUGAUAUCAAUACCCCAGACGGAAAAUGGCCAUGGUGAAGUCAAAGCGUGCAGCUCGGAGGGCGGCACGUGAAUGAGGUCCCCAUGUAUCUGACACCCGGGACAUCUCUGAACAAACUGGCAGCAAUCCGUCUCCAUGGUCAACCAGAAGUAACCGGUCCUCAUGAUCUUACGGGCCAACAUAUGUCCUCCCAUAUGUGGUCCGCAGACUCCCGCAUGAACCUCUCUCAUCACUCGAUCGGUGGAGGCACGGUCCAAGCACAAUAAUAGCAUCCCAUCAGCUGAUCGUCUAUAUAAUGUCUCACCACAAAUCACGAAUCGGGCUGCUAACUGUCUCAAUGCCCUCCUAUCCUUGGCCGUGGCUGCCUCAGGGUACACGCCAAGUCUCAAGAAGUGAUAUAUGUCAUGGUACCAAGGCAGACCAUCAUCUGGCUCUACAUCAUCGAUCAGGCAACAGUAGGCAGGAGCAGAUCUCGACUCGAUCAACAAAGGUCGAACAGUGGCGUCAACGGGAAUAUCGAUCAUGGAAGCUAGAGUAGCUAAAGCAUCAGCAAACUGGUUCUGCGCUCUAGGCAGAUGGGUAUAUCUCAAAUCAUCAAAUCUCCCAACCAUUAGCUCCAAAUAUACAUGAUAAGACCUAAGCUUCACAUCUCUAGUCUUCCACUCGCCCUGAAUCUGUCUCAACACCAGAUUGGAGUCACCAAACACCUCUAUCUGUCUAAUCCCGAGCUCGAGGGCUGUCUCUAAUCCCAAGAUACAAGCCUCAUACUUAACAAGGUUGUUCGUGGCAGGAUGUCGAUCCGAGAAUGCCAACCGAACAGAUCUGGGAAUGUGAUCACCAUGAGGGGAUAUCAACAGGACGCCUAUCCCGUAUCGAGAAUGGUUGGCUGCACCAUCAAAGUACAUGCGCCAACCUGACAGACUAGUCACAGCAGCGACAUCCUCGUCUGGAAAAUCAUCGUCAAUAGCUCUGGCAUCAGAAACUGGUAAUGAGGCUAGAUGAUCUGCUACAAUGCUCCCUCUGAUGGACUUCUGAGUGACAUAAUGGAUGUCAAACUCAGUCAGAAGUACCAACCAUCUCAUGAGGCGACCAACCAGAGCGGGUCUAUCAAACAAAUAUCUCAGAGGAUCCAAGCGAGAUAUCAAAUGCACGGAAUAUUCGGUCAUGUAAUGUCUCAACCGGCCAGUGGCCCAAACCAAUGACAAACAAUAACGCUCAAUCAUGACAUACCUCGUCUCGUAGUCUAACAUCCUCUUACUCAAAUAGUAAAUGGCUUGAUCCUUGCCCGAAUCAUCGAGCUGAGCUAACAUGCAACCCAAGGCCACGUCUGAUACGGACAAGUAUAAGAGCAGAGGACGGCCUAGUGUAGGAGGCGCCAAAACAGGAGGUGACAACAAGUACUCUUUGAUCCUCUCGAAGGCACGCUGGCACUGGUCAUCCCAAACAGUAGGUUGACUCUUCCUCAAGAGUCGAAAUAUGGGCUCACAGAUGUCUGUCAAUCUGGCUAUGAAUCUACUGAUGUACUGAAGUCUGCCCAGGAAGCCUCUGACCUCUCUCUCUGUCCUCGGCGCAGACAUGUCAAGAAUGGCUCUAAUCUUGUCCGGAUCUACCUCUAUGCCUCGCUCACUGACCAUGUAUCCCAAGAGUUUCCCAGAAGUCACUCCGAAAGUGCACUUCUUGGGAUUCAGUCUCAACCUGAACUGUCGGAUCCUCUCAAAGAAUCUCUCCAGAGCUGCUAAAUGAUCUGAUCUACCUCGGGAUUUCACUAUCAUGUCGCCUACAUAAACCUCGACAUACCGAUGCAUCAUGUCAUGGAAGAGGGUGGUCGCUGCUCUCUGAUAGGUGGCUCCUGCGUUCUUCAAUCCGAAUGGCAUGACUCUAUAGCAAUAAGUACCCCACUCGGUAAUGAAGGACGUCUUCUCCAUGUCCUCUGGAGCCAUCAAGAUCUGACUGUACCCGGAAAAUCCAUCCAUAAAGGACAACAUCGAAUGACCUGCCGUACUGUCAACUAGCAUGUCGAUGUGUGGAAGAGGAAAAUCAUCCUUAGGACUGGCCUUGUUGAGAUCUCGGAAAUCAACACAGACUCUCACUUUGCCGUCCUUCUUGGGAACAGGGACGACAUUGGCCAGCCACUCCGGGUACUCAACCACUAAUAAGAAUCCUACACUGAGCUGCUUCUGGAUCUCCUCUUUCACCUACAAGCUCCAACGAGGGUGCAAUCGUCUCAACUUCUGCUUAACCGGUCUGGCAUGGGGCAGAAGUGGCAAACGAUGCUGGACGAUAGAUGGAUCAAAGCCUGGCAUGUCCUCAUAGGACCAUGCGAAAACGUCCAAGUAGGAUCUGAGUAGCUGGAUGAGGCUAUCUCUCUCAUCUGUAGACAAAUCCGAUCCGAUCCUCAACUCCCUAGGCUGAUCUGACGUGCCAAAGUCAACAAUCUCGGUGUCCCCUACAGCAGGUGAAACUCUCUGAUCAACGGGGUCUGAGUCGGAAGUAGAAGACGAGUCAUCGUUUGAGUCGUGCUGUGCAAUCUCAUCAUCAAUGUCAAAAAUCUGUGAUGUGGGUGAAGAUGGUGCAGAUAAAUCAAUAACAUGAGAGACAGGCAAAUACUCAAAGGUGCUCAAAUCCAUAGAUGAAAAGUCAGAAACAUAGUCAUGACGGGAGACAAAUCCCGAUAAAACAUCAAAGGUGAGAGGUGGGUCCACAAGGUCGGACGCUCCCUCAACUAGGCCAACAGGGCCAUCAAACAAAUCAACAGCAACUAUAACAUCCUCGACGACCUCUGGAGUGGGGGCAACCUAGAUCUCCUCGGCGAUCUCGAGGACGGACACCCCGAAGAGAUCAAAUGGUGAAGCGAGCUCCGGCGGGGCUAUCUCCUCGGUCUGGCUCAAGCUCAUCGCGAGCAUCUCAUCAACGUACUCGUCACGCGGCACGGCUCCAUCCACUACGUCUCCAAUCUCGGCAAAAGUCCCGUGAUCAUCGAUCUCAUUCCGGAAGCAAAGCGUCAUAAGGCUCGUGCGAUCUGGGGAGGGAGGAGCAAUCAACACAGAAGCCGAAGGGCCAGGGGCUCCGUCACUCAACUGUAAUUGCUGGACGAGGCGCUGAAGCUCGGCCUCCUGGGUGGUGCUGAGUCCUCCGAUGAUCCCAUCAGAUGGUGCAUGUGACUCCGAUGCCCUCACAAAGUAAUCAGAUAAGCUCCUGGUGUAUGGGCGAAGAGGAUAGUCGAAAGGCGUGUGGGUCAGCCGAGCCCUCACUCUCUCCUUGCGCAAACGCGCCAUGUAUCGAUAGUCAACCUCGGUGGGGAUGAACCCAAGCCCAAAUGGUACGUCAUGAUCAGGAAUGGUGAUGAACUCGCUCGGUCCAUACUGACGUCGACCCAACCCCAUGCCGGGUAGAUAGGACAUGCUCCGCAUAAUAUCGAGCACCACUGUGCUCCUAUGCUCGUCAAAGGACAUGGCCACAAAAUCCCGGCAGAAAUCCUCCAUCUCCACGGUCUGCACCUCAGCGAAGGUGAAUCCAGUCAGAAAGAUAUCGUCAUCAGUGUGACUAAUCUCGAGCACAGGCUCGACAGCAAUGAACAUGUCCCCCACGGACUGCACCACGACGACCUGACCAUCAUGGAUGAACUUCACUUUCUGAUGAAGUGAAGAAGGAAUGGCUCCAGCUCGGUGAAUCCACGGUCGGCCCAAAAGCAGGUUAAAGGAUGUAGGAAUCCUCAAAACCUGAAAGAUAGUGAUAAAUGUGGUCGGACCUAUCAGGAGCUCAAUCUCCAGUGUACCCAUGACCUCUCUACGGGUGCUGUCAUAAGCUCGAACGGUCUGAGUGGAUGGACCGAAAUCGGAUGGUGCGUACCCAAGAGCGAUGGCGGUGGCCAGAGGACAUACAUUCAGGGUCGAGCCAUUGUCCAGAAGGACAGAUGGAACUCGGCGACCUGAACAGCCAACAGAUAUAUAGAGAGGACGCGUGUGGCCAAAACCCUCUGGUGGCAAGUCGUCAUCGGAAAAGACGAUACAAGUGGCUCUGCCAACCGUCAUCAUAUGAAUGAGUCCCUCAGGAGUGGUCGUGGUAUCAACUCUAAUCUGGCUCAGAGCUCGAGUCAGUGCAUCCCGAUGAGUACUGGAGGACGCUAAAAGGCUCCAUAUAGAAAUACGAGCCUGAGUGCUCUGCAACUGCCUCAAAAUCUCGUCAUCCUCUACUCUGACCUCCUCCUGGGAUGAUGUACCCCCUAAGGGUCUAGCGGCAGCGGCUGGAGGUGGCUGUCUCAAUACUCUCCCUCCCCAGAGGAUAUACUAAACGUCCGGAGUCUGAAGAUCAUCACUGUGUGGAGCCUGAAACUCCUCAACAUCGGGGACUAAGACGAACGGCGUCUGAACACUAUAGCGCGUGGAAGUCGGAGGCUCGACAAUGGACGCAUGUACUGAGGCUGUCUCAGGAAAUAACCCGAAGGGAGUGGGCACCUAAGGCCCCAAAGACAUGCUGCUCAUCCCGUAAAUAUCCCCCAACUCUAUGGGCUCUGGAUCUAUGUCAUCCCAGCUCAUCAUGCAAACAUGGUCAUCAGAAUCAGCAAAAUCCAGAAAAUGAAUACCCCUGUCUGGUGGAGGAACUGCAUGCGUGGAAUGGGCCGAUAGUGGGUUUUGGGCUAUACUCGGCUGACCCAAGUGAACCAAACCCUGAUCAAUCAAGUCCUGGAUGGCGUGCCUCAAUGCGGUGCAUCGAUCAGUCUCAUGUCCUAGCCCCUGAUGAUAGGCACAAUGCAAAUCCAUCCUAUACUGAGGAGGUAGAGGCUGUGGGGGCGGUCUCGGAGCGAGUGCAGUCAACAAACCAGCCUCUAUGAGCUUCCGAAGAGCCUGGCUCAACGGCAUGCCUAUCUGUGAAAACUGUCUCUACGUCCUCAAAGCAAAAGGUGCAGAGGUCUGCUGAGCUCGAGGCCUAGGGUAUGAAGGUGCGGGCCUCGGAGUGAACUGUGCAGCGUAGCAUGGCUGUCCAGUGGCCGUGUACGAAACAAGAAGCCUCUCAAUGCCCUGAGUGGCAUAGUAAGGUAGAGCCAAUGGCCGAGCCUGAUAUGUCUGAUCGAAAGUCGGGCAAGGUGCCUGUGGCCUGAACUGUUGAGGUGCGUAAGACGGAUGAGUCUCAAUGAGCUGUGGGAUCGGCUGAUGACGCCUAGGAGGCCUCUGACUGGAUAAACUGAUAGCACUAACAUCUGUCGACCUCUGUCCUACGAAUGGUUUCUUCCCCUUAACAUCACUAGGGGAAGAAUCUGUCCAUAAACCUCUCGAGAUGCCGUCCUCGACAUCAUACAAAGCCAUAACUAGAGACCCAAAAUCCGUGAACGGGGCCCCUACCACAUGUCUGGCGAUCCGCGGCUGCAAGCUCCUCAAAACCAUCUGAAUCUGGUCCCUCUCUGAUGGUCUAUUGAUAAUCUCAGCUAUCUUCCCGCGCUAGCGGGAAAUGAAAGAAGAAACAGACUCCUCUGCCCUCUGUCUCAAAGCCUCGAGCUCCCUCCUCGAUACAUCCACGACAGUGUUAAACGAAAACUGUCGUAGGAACUCCUGGGCCAAGUCGUCCCAUGUGCGGCGCCUCGAGGCCUCCAAAGAUGCAAACCAACGCUGGGCCGCCCCACUCAAAGAUAGUGGGAAAAGAGUAAUCAUCUGAGGCUCGUCCAGUCCAUGAGCCCUCAUCACGGUGCUGUAUAAUCGGAGAUGGAGGCGUGGACAACCAAUGCCAGUAUACCUCUCAAUGUCAGGCAUCCUGAACUUAGCCGGCAAGCUGGCUACCGGCACUCCAUCAAAACCCUCCCAAGUAGUGGCUCUAUCUGAAGUCCUCAACUGCCUCAAACCCUGCUCAAGCCUAUCCAUGCGAGCAUGUGGGUCCUCUGAGGUCGGGGUGGGCACGGUGAUGGGAGGCGGGACAACCCCGGUCUGACUAUGCAGAGUGAACGGCAUGGCCUGUGGCGCUGACUGACUGGGUGGAGGAGGUGGUGGCACUGUAGGGUCAUACUGGGCACCAUCCUGGGGCGGGACCUGCUGGGCCUGCUGCCCAUCCAUCCUCCGACCGAGGCUAGCUAUAGCCUCCUGAAUCGAAGCCAUGGCCUCAGCAAACUGAUCGACGGUAACUACCUGUGAAUCCAUAUCUCUCUGAUCUGAUCUUUGGUCUGACUGGUCCGAUACCCUGAUCAAUCUACCCUCAACUCUGAUCCAAGAGGGUGUAUCCAGGCUGUGAACAAAAUCCGAUCCUGACAAGACUCCUCCUCUACUCUAUCCCACGAAGGUAUAUCCAAAUGAAGAACAAAGGUCCGAUCCUGAGAAAGCACGAAGAACGGAAUAAGGAUAUGGCUCUGAGAAUGUACAAAAGAAAAGGUAAUCUAAACGGGAACCAGCAAAGCAUCCAAAUGAAGAUGAACGGUCCGACCGUACUCAAAACUAGCACUGAUCUCUGUGCAUUCUCAACUGGAGACUAAAGAGGGAGCGUCGAAUCCAAAAUGUGACCACAGAGGCGCCGAAGGCCCUCAGAUGCACCCACGUGUAGGGAGGGAGUCCUAAUCAGAGGAUCUACGGCUCAACCUACAAGGUCAAGGUGGUUCUAAAUAGAUAUGGGUGGACUUUAAAAGAUCCCUAGCAGAAGCGAUCGUACCCUCCGACAGUACGCAACCCUUUGCACGUCUCCGAAGAGACGGGGCGCUUCCAUGCAAGGUGGUCAUCACCUCCACACAUGCACUACCUCGACAUCCCAGGGGGUUUCCUAUGGUGAAACCUCUCAAACUCUCAACGCUCAAUGGUCAACUAAAGUGCACAGUGAAUGGUGUGGGUGCAUCCGAAAACCCUAAGAAUCUAGAGCAGAAGAGGAAACACACUGGUCGCACGACUAUCCAUGAAACCUAGCUCGGGGCUAUACAGGUCUUCAAUGAUCGAACUCCAAUCGACAUCAAAGUGUCGUCCUCCUCCUGAAUGCUCCCGUACAUCGAUAUAGCCCGUCGCUAGACCCUACUCCUAAUCUCUAUCUCAGUCAGAGUACAAGCACACACAAGGCCCCACACUUGCAAAAGUGAGAACCAGAAUGAAGGAAAUGACCGAGACUAGAGGGUCGGAGAUAAGGGGAUAGAUGUGCUACCCACAUAGACAGGCGACAUACAAUCACGCAGAGGAGGGCAGUCAUGCAUCAUACAGUCAGGCAGAGCAGAAUAUAUCACUCAUGUACACACAAGAUAAGCGAGAAUACGACAAUCAAGAUGAAUAGUGAUACCAACAUCAUGCUCAAGGACGAUCAAAAUAGUAUACAAGUUAGAGAAUCAAUAUGUCAAGCCGAGUGAUAUACAAUGGUGAGUGUAUGCAUGUGAAGUGAUCAGAACAAUCAUGCCAAAAUCAGAAUCAAUACGCUGAGCAAUGCAAUAAGAUCAAUCAUCAAUAAUCCAACAUGUCAAAAUCUCAAAUGAAUACGACAUCUAAGCAUGCAUCAAGAAAUCCUCAAUGUGCAAUCAAGAGAUGAGCAUCCACUGAUCGUCCAAUCAAAUGCCACAUUUGCUUCACUCUAAGUUCAAGCUUGACCCUCUAAAAAAAAAAUCCCCAGCGGAGUCGCCAUUUUGUGGACCCCGCAUUUCGGCUCAUGCGUUUCCCACUCGAAGGCGAGCUCGAUUUUUAUUUGAAAAAUUGAUUUUUUAUUGAUUAAGAAAACUGACUUGGAGUCGCCACUUAUUUUUGUUUUAUUUUUAAAAGGGUAAACAAAAUAAGAAAGAAAAACCCUAAGUGUGACUCCUUACUUUGGAAAAGGUGGUCUGUGAAAAACCGGAUCGGGUUCGGGGGUCAGGUUACUUAUCGGGAAGGUACGGUAAAGACCGUAGCACCCCUCUAAGUCCCUAAAGUCGGGUCUCUACUAAUAAAAUGAAGCAAUCAAUGGCAAUUGAUGAGGGAAUCAAUGAAUACUCAGAGUGAUCCUGCACAUGUGGGAAUCUAAACAUGCAUACAAAAAAUGACCCAAGCGGGUGUGGAUGCGUACCUGGGCAGUGAUCCAUAAAGCGCUAUCAAGAAGUGAGGUUAGCGCACAAUUAAAGAAUAAUUUCGAGCAUGUCAUAGAGCGAAAUAAAAUCGAUCAUGCAUGGCAAUUAAAUCAAACAAACAAUCAAUCAAUCAUAAGGGAAUCACAUAUGUUGGGCCCCCACCAAAACCCGAUUUAUAUUGCAUGAAUUAAUCCUACGAAUCCCAUUAUUUCGGAAUUAUGAAGAUUCAUCAUUCUUGCUUGUGUAAAAAUCAAAAGAAAUAGAACAUUAUUUAAAAAUCGGAGUGAAAUUAAAACUAUUCGAGAGAAAACUGGGUUUUGAGAUUUAUUUGGAAAUUAGAGUCUUGAAAAUUAUUUGAAGAUUGGAGUCUUGAAAAAUUAAAUUUAAGAAUUGGGAUUUUGGAUAUUAAAUUUGAAAGAAAUUAGAAUUUUGGAAAUCGGAAAUUAAGUUCAGAAAUUGGAAUUUUGAAGAAUGUUUAAAAUGGAAUUUCAAAAUAAAUAACUAAAAUAAUAAUAAUUAAAUAGAUUAAUGUGAAUAUUAGAAUUUUCAGAAUUAGAAAUUAAAAUCGGAAGUUGGAAAUUUUAAUGAAUUGUUUAAAAUUGAAUUUUAGAAUAAACAAAUGAAAUAAUAAUAAUAAUGAAAAUAAUAAAGAUUAAAUAAAUAAAUAUGGAAAUUGGAAUUCCGGAAAUUAGAAAUUGAAUUUAGAAAUCGGGAUUUUGAAGAAUUACUUAAUGAUGGAAUUUUAAAUAAAUAAAUAAACAAUAAUAAUAAUAAUAAUAACAAAAAUAAUGAUUGAAUAAAUACAUAUGGAAAUUAGAAUUCCGGAAAUUAGGAAAUUGAGUUUGAAAAUCGGGAUUUUGAGGAAUUGCUUGAUGAUAGAAUUUUAAAUAAAUAAAUAAAUAACAAGAAUAAUGAUUGAAUAAAUAAAUAAGGAAAUUAGAAUUCCGGAAAUUAGGAAAUUGAGUUUGGAAAUCGGGAUUUUAAGGAAUUGCUUGAUGAUAGAAUUUCAAAUAAAUAAAUAAAAUAAUGAUGAUUUAAAUAAAUUGAUGUGAGAAUUUAAAAUUUCGGAAAGUGGAAUUUAAAUUUAGAAAUCGGGAUUUUGAGGAAUUGUUUGAAGAUUGAAUUUUAAAAAUAAAUAAAUAAAUAAAUGAAAUAAUGACGAUUAAAUAAAUUGAUGUGAGAAUUAAAAUUUCAGAAAUUGGAGUUUAAAUUUAGAAAUCAGAAUUUUGAGAGAUUAUUAAAGGUUGAAUUUUAAAAACGAACAAAUAAAUAAAUAAAUAAAAUAAUGACGAUUAAAUAAAUUGAUGUAAGAAUUAAAAUUUCGGAAAUUGGAAUUUACUUUGGAAAACGGAACUUUGAGAGAUUAUUAAAGGUUGAAUUUUUAAAAAAUGAACAAAUNNNNNNNNNNNNNNNNNNNNNNNNNNNNNNNNNNNNNNNNNNNNNNNNNNNNNNNNNNNNNNNNNNNNNNNNNNNNNNNNNNNNNNNNNNNNNNNNNNNNNNNNNNNNNNNNNNNUUUUUAAAAAAUGAACAAAUAAAUAAAUAAAUAAAAUAAUGAUGAUUAAAUAAAUUGAUGUAAGAAUUAAAAUUUUGGAAAUUGGAAUUUAAUUUAGAAAAUGGAAUUUUGAAGAUUCUUAAAAGGUUGAAUUUUAAAAAUGAAUAAAUAAAUAAAAUAAUAAUGGAGAAUUAAAUUUUGAUAUUGAGAAUUAAAAUUUCGGAAAUUGGAGUUUAAAUUUAGAAAUCGGAAUUUCGAGGAGUAGUUUAAAGAUUGAAUUUUAAAGAUAAGCAAGUGAAUAAAUAAUGGUGAUUAAAUAAAUGGAUGUGAGAAUUAAAAUUUCGGAAAUUGGGAUCAAAUUCGGAAGUCAGAGAAUUAAGAUUGUUUAAAGAAGGAAAACUUGAAAUAAAUAAAUACAAUAAUAAUAACGAAUAUAAUGAUUAAAUGAAUGAACGAGAAUUUUGGAAUUUCUUCAAAUCGGAAAUUGAAUUUAAAGGUUGGAAAAUUGGAAUUGCAUAAGGAAAGAUAUUUUGAAGUAACUAAAUGGAAUAAUAUUAAUAAGAAUGAUAGUUGAAGUUUUUGAAAACUAGGUUUUAAAGAUUGGAGCUUUGGCAACUAGAUUAAAAUUUUGAAUCUUGACAAUUAACUUUGGAAAUUAAAAAAAAAAUUAUUCUAAAAUGGAAACUUUAAAAAUUAGAUUUAAAAAAAGAACUUUGGACAAUUAAACUAUGAGAAUAUGGAUUUUGAAAGUUAAACACUGGAAAAUUGAAAUAAUAAUAAUAAUAGUAAUAAUAACAACUUAAUAUUGAGAACUUGAUAUUGAGAAUAUGGAAUUUGGAUAAAUGAAUAAGCAUAUAAGUGAAUAAUAUAGUGUACGUGUGCAUGAAAUAAAAAAGAAUGAAUAAAAGGAACUAAAGGGCUUUAGAGAGGGGUUUAGGAUAAAGGAUAUGCAGAUUUGGGCCUUUAGGAAUGGACCUUGGGCUUUGAAAAGGGGCUAAGGGUUGGAAAUGGGCCUUGGGCUUCAUCUUCAUCCUAGUUCCUCCACAGCCCAACAACAUCCCCUCCAUCUGGGCAACUCCUUCAGGAUAUCUCCACCAGUACUGACAUAGAGAGAGACUUCACCACCGGCGGCAAGAUGGAGAGAGGAGCCGUGGCGGCGGUUCGGCGGCAACCUGAAGGUGCAGCCAUCAAGGUGGCUGGUGCAAGUGCUCGCCUGGCCGGGGCGGGUGGUGGUGGCUGGCGAGGUGAGCAAGCACCUCGCCGACGCGGUACACGCAGCGAGAAGGAGCGGGGAGGGGCGGCACGCGUGCAUGGAAGGUUGUGAAGCUCCCCAGGCCUCCGACAAACGCGUCUCUGAUGAAGACGGUAGGAGCGAUGACGGGUAUGAGGAGGAAGAUGGUGGAGGCGACUUGCAUGUUUGGACCCCAUGUGUGCAGAAGGGCGGCUUGGGGAGUCCUCGUGGAGAUGGGUAUGGCGGUUAGAGAGAGAAAAGGUGGCAAAUAUACAUGGGUAUGAGAUGGGAGAGAUAUAGGUGACGCAGCGGACUAGACGAUACAAAUCAGGUUUGAACUGAGGAUUCGGUGAAUUGGAAACUUUAACUAAAAGCUACAGGGGACUUUCUUAAGCUAUGCAUGAUACUAGGGAAUGAGUUGUGAGUUGUUGAGGGCAGCGAUGGAGUGAGAAUCUGGUGAAACAUGAAUAUAUCUAGCCUCAUUUCAAAUAUCAUCCAUGGGCCGAUACAGGUGAAUGAUAAAGAGCAUCAACGUGAUUCAUAACGAACCCAUGUACUCGAUGGCCUCCAAAGAAAAUCACAAAAAUGAGAUAAUAGCAUAGCAAACAUACCCAAGCAGUGAAUGAAAGCUUAAAGAUCGAGACAAGUGCAUGAAAAAUAAUACGAUAAGAAAAUAAUGAACAGAAAACCCACAAAACUUAUACCUAGGAGUGCUCUUUCUUAGCGAAAACCAAUCAGAAAAACCAUGAGUCUCCCCCGGUUCAGCAACUCUGCCUCCCUCCUAGAUAGCUCACUCUUUUCUUCUUUCCUUUUUUCCGAAACUCUGUUUUCCUUUUCUCCUUUUUUUUAGCUUCCUCUCCAAGCCAUCUUUGUACCCCAUCCCAUCUGCCGCCCCAGAGCCUCCCCUAUCAGUCUCCUUUUUGCUGCCCCAAAAACAGCCCCUGACCAUCAUGUCGAGCGGCUCCGGAAAAAAGGUAGGAAAAAGAAAAGAAAUAAAAUAAAUCCAAAGAAAACUCUCUGUCUCCGGGGGGGUCUACAGAUUUUUUUCUAUUUUUUUGAAAGGAUUUCAUUAAAUUUGUCAAGAUAAGGAAUUUUUUUCCUUAUCUUUGUUUUUCUCCCUUUGAAUGAUUCACUUACAUGUUAUGGGUUAGUUUCUAUGAAACUUUUUCUUAAAGAAAAAUAUUAUUUUUAAUUGGUAAAUAUAUCUAUCAUUCUCUUGAUAUUAUAGAAACUCUCUUUUUAAAAAAUUGUUUAGUUUCUACUAUUGUUUUAAAAAAAAAUCUCUUUCAAAUGGAGGAAAACCAAUUAAUGGUUAUUUAAAAUAAGUAUUAUAAACUUCUAGAAAGGAGACGUAGCAUUCAAAAAUCAACAAAGUUAAAAUCCUUGUUUUUUCUUUUUUUCUCCUUUCAACAUUCAACAACCAAUCUUCUUACUUUUAGUGUUUCUCUUAUAAGUUAAAGGUCUUUGAUGACUAUAUUUUGCAUUUUAUUUUUGUUGUUCUCCUUUCAACAUUCAACAAUCAAUUAAUCUUCUCUCUUAGUGAUUGUCUUGAACUUUGAUGACAAAGGCAUUCUAAGAAAUUUGCUUGAAGGCCCACUACCAUCCAAAGUCUAAUAAACCAAGGAAAAUUGCAUGAAAAUAUUUCAUAUCAUUUUUUGAAAUUUAGAUCUUUGUAAGAAAUUGUUUUGAAGGUAAGCUACUACUAAAGUUUAAUAAGCCAAGGAACUUUCUCACUAUUUCUCAUGUUCGGGUAACAUGAAAAAAAUAAUAGUUGUUUUUUUAUCUCCUUUUCUUUAAUAUUUAUCCUUUUGUCAUUACUACAAAGUAAGCGCAAUUAUGCUUCAUUUGAUGAUUAAUGGAGAAAAAAGUUACUUCUUUAUAUUAAAUAUUUAUCCUUUAAUUAUUUUUGCAAAGUUAAAUUAGAGUUUUCAUGAAUGCCUUUUCUACUACAAUUAUGAAAUUCAAAAUUUAUCUGCUCAAUACAUUGAAAUCCCUCAAAGAAAUUGAGAAAGCAAUCAUUUAACCAACUCCUUGAAGAACUUACCAUAAAUAACGGUAGUGCAAAAGAUAAGUGUCAUGAUUGAAGUUCAAAAUAAUAUCUAUAACUUAAAGAUUUCUUUGAACAUUAAAGUUUAGUGCUAGCUAUAUUAUAAUAGCAACUAAAAAAGGCACUUUUUGCUCCUUUUUCCCAUUUAUUCUUUUGGAAGUAUGAAAAGAAAAUUAUUCCAAAAAAAAAAUUACAUAAAAUAAUAAAAAAAUUUAUAAAAUUAAUGCUUAUAAAAAUUAUAUGAAAAUAAUCAUUAUUUUAAAAAAAAAUCUCACCCCAUUUUCUUUAAUAUUUGAUUACAAAUAUAAUAUAGUUAAAAAGAGUAUACUAUUAUACAAAUCAUGUAACUUCUAAAGUAUCUCUAUUUAGGCAUUGUUUGAAAUCAUAGAAUAAAGCAUGGGAAUGAGUUAAUGUGUUUGGAUUGUUUUUGGAAUAAGAAUAGGAAUAAAAAAUCAUUGUUAUGGAAACCAAAUUCCAUUAUCACUGGGAUUUUGAUUCCUUUAUCUUAUCUUACAUGAGAUUAGGAUUCACCAUAUCCUCAUUCUAUUUCCAUUCCUAUUUUCAUGUACCAAACGAAACCUUAGACAAUGUUUGGUAUGUGGGAAUUGAGAUGAGAAUAAACAUUUUGUUUUCAUUCUUAUUUGAUCUUGAAUAAAAAUAAAUUUGGUAAUUCCAAUUCUUGUAUUUGAAUGCACUUAUAAAUGGAAUGUUGAAAUGAUCAUUUCUUUUCAUUUUAUUGUUUGAUAACAAUAGGCAUGAAAUUAAUUUUCUCAUUAGAAGAACAAAAACCUUAGAAUAUAAUGAAAAGUUUAACAAAGUUGAAAGGAGGAAAUCAAUAAAGAAAUGAUAUUUUUAACUUUCUUAAGUUUUGUGCACUUCUUUUUAUAUUAAAUUCAAUUUUUAAAUUUGUAAUUAUUUAACCAAAUCCAAAACAACAUAAUUAGCUUCAAUUUAUGUUUCCAACUUGUAUGUGUUAAUAUAAGACUUAGUGGUAGUAAAGUAGUUUUGAACCAAUAAGCUAUAGAGCAAAUUUGUCUACUUAAACUAGUACAUUGACAAUCUCAUCCUUUGAAAAUUUUGGAACAAUACAAAAUAUUGCAAUACAACCCUCUAAAACUCUAAAAUUAAGAUCCUUAAGUCGCUUGACCUAAUCCUUACCAAAGAUCACUCACUAUAAAUAACACCUUCUUAUCUUUCUUUUUUUGCAUGAAUAUGUCACCUCAUAACACCUUCUCCUCUUGAAUUUGAUUGCUUGUUCUUAAUUUGACAUUCUCUUUCCCUUUUAGAUUUGAAAAAAAAAAACAAAAAAACAAAAAAAAUGGUGUAAAUUCAACUUGAUAAGAGUUUAAUCAAAAUUGGAAAUUUGCUUGUAAUAUCUAACUCGCCUUAAUGAAUAAGGAUGUAUGGGUUGAUCAAUCGAGCUUUAGGCCCUUGAAUAAUCAUCUCAACUUUCACUUUCAAUUGCCUGAGAUAUUUCAUUUGGAUAUCAAUCAAACCCAAGGUUGAGACAUUAAAUUGUACGUAUGUUAGUUUUUAUGAUAAACUAGUUUCACAAAAUGGUUGAUGCUUCAAAAGUAAUAACUUAGUUAACAAAUGCAAUGUCAUAAUUUUAUAUUUUUGCUCAUUUGAUGUAUGUGGGAACAAAAACUAACAUGGAUCUUAAAGUAUUCCAAAACAAAAUACUUGAAAUUGAAAUAUUCUUUCCCACCUAAUUUGAUUGCUCAUUCUAGGUUGGAGAUUCUAUCUCUUUACACCAAGAAUUAUGCAUAGUGCAAGAGUGUGAGUUUAAAUUGGCAUCACUUUAAUCAAAAUCUAAGACUGGGUUGAAGUAUUUGACUUGCCUUGAUUAAUAAGGACAUCCGGCCAUGGCUUAACUGAUGGAGGUUGGUGUGUACUAACUUAUCCAACAAAAUGUUUAAUCUGCAAAAAAAUUAACAACAAUCAAGCUUGUCCUCGAAAUGCCCUAAAACGAGUCCCAAUAAAAAUGGGUUUUGAAAAAAAAAAAAAAAAACAAAACAAAAAAUUCUGUAGAAGGAAUUUCAGCCCCUUGGAAUCAGCAAGGCAUAUAAAAUAGAAACUAAGAAAAGGAGGGUGGCUUAAUUACCAAAAAGUUGAGGUAAAUGUUUGGUCAACAUCAACAAAGAAGCUCCAGCCAUCUGUGCAUAUGGUCCAUUUCAUGGUCUUGCGCAUCAACACCAUUACCAUCAUUAUUCAGGGUGGUGCCAUCACAGCUUCUCUCCACAUCAGUAUUAGUAUCUUCUACUGCUGAACUGGUGUCACAGCUUACUUCUACGUUGUACAAUUGUGAGAUUGUUCUGUUCAUAAUCGUGGGCAUAUAGAAAGUGGAAGCCACACCUCGCCACUUUCACUGGUUUAACACCAAAGUAGACAUUAAAGAAAGCGUUCAAGGUUCUCCAUUCAUUUGAGUGAUAUCUCUUGGGAAUACGUGACUUAGGAUAAUAUAUCAAGCACCCUUGACUUGAUGCAUCUUCAUCAUAGCAGAAUUCACAAAAUUGAAAAGACUGAUAGGAAAAAUAGGCACUGUCAUCAUCGAAAUUCAAUUUACAGUUGAAACACCUAUGUUUUUUGGUCUCAAUCUCAAGUGGAACACAAAGAGAGCACAGAACAAAGCCCAAGAAGUCAUCAUUUUCAUACCAACUCCAAGGAAGUUUCAUUGUUAUUUUGAACCCGCUUUUCUGAUGGCUUAUCCACUCCGGAAUCCCAUUACUUUCAGCAAUAAAAGUUAUGAGAGUUUUUCUAAAUUCACGCCCCUGCACAAAAAUUACCCUCUGAAUUUUGUGUCUCAAUGAAAACAAAGGUUAAAUGCUAUAUGAAAACCAUACCUGAAUUUGGGAUUUAAAACAUUUGAAUAAAGAAGACCAGAGUAGAUUUGAUCGACUGGAUAAAUUUUCCAGGGAUGUGCAGUGAUGGGCAUCUAGACAAAAUAAACCUGAUGGAAGUUCUGGAAUAUGUUGAAGCAUCUUGCAGUGACCCAAGUAAAGAUUUUCUAGGUUAUAAAGUUGACUGAUCCCAUCAGGUAUGCGACUAAAGUGGUUCCCCCCCAGAGAUAAUGUUACCAGUGAUGAUAGGUAAUAGAUUUCACUGGGAAAUUCCCUUAGAUUGCAGCCUUGAAGCUUUAACGUCCUCAAGGAGCAUAAACCGGACAAAGACGGCAAUUGAAAAUUCAUUGAAUCUAAAUGCCCAACAAAAAGAUACUCUAAAGAUUGCAGUCUCCCCAAGUUGUCUGGCAAUUUGUUGAAGUUUGGACAGCGACUGACAACGAGAGUUUUAAAAGAUGUCAAAUUACAAAUACUCUCAGGAAGAUUCACAAGGUUUUUGCAGUUUCUCAGAAGCAAAUAUUGAAGCCCUCUUAGACGUUGAAUUGAUGAUGGUAUCUCUUUUAUGGCGGUUCCAUUUAAAUAAAGCUUUCUCAAGCUCUCCAUAUCUUGCAGGAUUUCUGGAAAGCUCUCUAGUUGUGAACAGCCAGAGCAGGAGAGAGUUGCAAGGGAUUUGAAACCAAAAAUGCUACUGGGCAGACUCGUAAGAUUUCUGCAAUCCCGCAGACAUAAACUAUCAAGUUCCAAGGGAUUCUCGAUAAUGGGUACUUCAUUCAUAUCACUGCCCUUAAAACAGCACUUCCGCCGAGGUGUCCCAUCCCGUUGGCAUGCCCUGCAUAUUCUAAUAUCUGCAUCCUCAUGGCUUUGUUGAAGGUCUUGGGAGUAUAUAAGGCGGACUCCACACUCCUUUACUUUCAAGACUUUCUCAGAAUUAAUGUAAAAGUCGAAAAAGGAAAACCCAAUGAAAGUCCGUUGAUCAGAGCAAAACCUUUCCGGAAUAACUGCCUUGGGAUAGCAAAUCACCCACGUCUGACCUGAUACACUCUCAUUAUCUUCGUCCUUGUCUUUUUUAUAGCAAAAACAAUUGGAUUGAAAGAAGGAACGAUCUACCAAUUCAACUCCAUCACCAGCCACAUCCAAACAACAGCUAAGACGACAAGGAUGUGUAUGUUUAUGUUCAUUCUUACGAAAAGAUUCAGCCACAGAUUUAUCGUCUGUUUCAUUCUCCCAUGUAUGAGCAGAUUCAUCCUCAGAUUUAUUAGCUGAUUCAUUCUUGGACCCGUGUGCAGAUUCCUUUUCAGGUAUGUCCUCAGAUUCGUAAGCAAAUGGAACAUAAACACAACAUAGAGCAAAUCCCAAAAACUCAUUAUUUUGGUGCCAAUUCUGAGGGAGCUCUGUUUCUGUAAAAUAUCUUUUUGUCCGAUCCAUAAUCCAUUCUGGAAUUCCAUCAGUUCUGGGAAGAACAAUGCAAGUUCCCUUGCCACGGUAGGAAGAAUCACUAAAACUAGUGCGUUUCAAACCCUGCACCAAAGCACCAUGUAAAUAUAGAGUCUGCAUAUAUAACUAGUGUGUGACAUGAAAAUCAUACCUGUGCCCAACUGAAGCAAUUGACCAGAGAAUGCAAUGGCAAAAACAGGGCUCUUGAUGAAGUGCGAUUUGAACCAUGUGCAUCUAAAAGCCGUAGACGUGAUGGAAGCUCUGGAAUUUGUUCAAGAUUGUUGCAGUGACUAAGGUUAAGGACUUCCAGCCUGGAAAGCUGAUUGAUGGUAGUAGGUAUGCUACUAAAAUGACCCUGUUCCAGAUUUAGUUUCUGUAAUGAUGAUAAAUGGCAAAUAUCACUAGGAAUUCCUCCUUCCAUUAUGUUGCAGUGACCUAGGUCCAAUUCUUUCAAUGAUGAUAAAUGGCAAAUAUGAUUAGGGAUUUGGUGGAGCUUUAAACACUCUUGAAGUAGGAGAGUUUGAAGACCAUUUAGAUGUGUAAUUGAUGAUGGUAAGUCCAUUAUAGCUGUUCCACUCAAAUCAAGCACCCUUAGCUCUCUCAUAUCGCCUUUGAUUUCUGGAAAUCUCUCUAGCUUUGAACAGCCAUUGCAAGACAAAGUUUGAAGGUGUUUCCACUUGUAAAUGCCUCUUGGAAGAAGCUCCAGGUUUACACACCCUGCCAGAUUCAAGGGAAAAAGAAAAACCAAGUUAGUUUUAGUAAUUAUAAUACUGCUGCACCAAACUUUUAAGUACCGUUGUACAACCUUCUAGAGUUAGAAUCUCCAAGUUUGGCACACUUGAGAAGUCUGGGAUUCUUAUGAGAUGGACAGAGUGACUGAGAUCAAUAACCCUCAACUUGUCAUGAAGCUGUAACAAAAUAAUUUUUUUCAAUAGAUAAAUUUACACGUUAAAAAUUAAUAUAAAAUUAAACUGUAACUAAAUAAUAAUAACAAUACCUUAUUGCCCCUCCAAACUUGCUUUAUAUUGCUGUCCCUUAAUGAGAGUUCAACAAGGUUCUUUGCAUGAAAAUUCAUUGGCAAAGAUUCUAAAGGGUAUCCAUCCCAAUGCAGAUAUGCUAACUCAUAGGAAUAGAAUUCAAAGUCCCUUGGAAGGUGGUCUUUAAGAAAUAGCUUUCUACGAGGGUUAUGGAUUUUGAGCAGUCUAAGUCUAUUCAUCUCUUUGAAAGAUUCUGUAGUAAGCUCUGAUGGAUUAAAUUUACAUCUAUCUAAGAAUAGUCCUUCAAUUGCUCGUGUCCCCUGAAAAAUAUAAGAUGAGUAGGUGAAACAAAAGAUGCAUUAGGCUUAAUUGAGUUAUACACACGGCUAAUUUCUGAAAAAAAUAAUAAUAGUAAUGAAGCUUGCAUACACACGUAUAAACAAGUUCAUGCAUUUGACUCUUACCUUAUUUCCUGUUAGCACAUGAUAGGCAUUAGAAUCGCAUAAUCUACUCCUUCUUCCAGGGUCUUCCGGACAUUCUUGACGAAUAAUCUCCCAACCCAUUUGUUGUAUUAAAUCAUGCAUAUCUAGCAUGUUUUUUGAAACAGUUAUGAGACAUCUAUCAUCUAGAGUUGUUAUUGCGUGCUUUGCAUGAGGGCCCAAUAUUCUUGAAACAAAAUCUCUAUCAUCUCCUUUGAAAAAGCAUGCAACAUCCAAAAAUAUCCCCUUGUCUAUAUCAUCGAGUCCAUCAAAACUUAUUCUAAGUACAUUGUGAAUUUCCAUGUGGGGCAUUAUUUUUAGCUUACACAGUGCACUUUCCCAAUUACUUAUUUUCUUUCCAAAAAGAGAAGCACCUAAAACUUUAAGUGCUAACGGAAGGCCAUUAGCAUAAUCUAUGAUAUUGUAUGAGAGAUUUUUAUAAACUUCUUGGGGACGAUUUUGUUUAAAGGCCCACAAACUAAAGAGCUCAAUAGCUUCUUCCUUGUUUAAUUUUGAAACCUCAUAUCGUAUAUCCGCUCCAUAUUGAGCAAGUACAUGUUUGUCUCUAGAUGUAAUGAUGAUUGUACUUUUUGCCCGAAACCAAUCCUUCUCUUCAGCCAAAUAUUCUAGUUGUUUCAACUCAUCCACAUCAUCAAAAAUAACAAGAACUCUAUUGGAGCUUAGACACCUCUUUAUCAUACUAAUUCCUUCAUCAACAUUGUUUAUUUUAAAAUUUUUUCCCCUUAGGAUACCAUGAAGAAGUUCUUGCUGUAACUGAAGUAUAUCACCUUUGGAUCUCUCUUUGAUAUUUAUAAGAAAGCUACUACCAUCAUAUUGAUGUGAGAUCUCAUUAUAAAUAGCCUUGGCGAUAGUAGUCUUGCCAACCCCACCAAUUCCAUAUAUCCCUACGACACUAACCAUAUUUAACUCAGUGUUCAUCAACGAUUUCAAUUUUUCCAAAUGAACACCAAUUCCAACUAUGUUCUUUCCCACACUUAAAGGUUGAUGGUUUAAUCUUCUAAUGAUUGUAUCAACAAUUUCCUUGACAACCUCGGUCUCAUACCUGCCAAUCAUAUAAAUUAAGUACAAUGAUGAGUUAGAAUGAGUUGCAAAAUAUAAUAAAUUUAAAAUAAAUUUAGUCUUGUAUGGCCGUGUCCAAUAUUACUGAAUUAGUAGCAAUGGAAUGAAAAAGAAAGGGGUGAAGCCAAUUUACUUACAUAUUUAAGCUUUAAAAUUUGUAAGUAUCAAACUACUAAAAAUGUGCCAAGUUGCAAAAUUUCAAUACUCUUACUGUUAGAGCAUUGUGUAGGACUCCUCUAUGAACAAGCUAAUGCCUUCUUUCAACUUUGAUUUCACAAACAACUUGCUUAUGAUUCCUCAAUUUCACUUGUCUUUAGGUUUUAUUAACUUACCAAUACUUACCAAUGUUGCAAAGACUCUGUUUUUAGCCUGCCAAUUAAUUUUGCAUUUCCAUAGAGGAAUCAGGAAACAAGUGAAUGUGGAGAAUUUCAUGAUUUGCUUGUUGGUUGGGAACUUAAAUAUGAUUUGCUUUAGAGAAAAUUAUAAAAGGGUUAAAUUUUGAUACUUGUAUUUUUGGACCAACACAAGGGAAAAAUGAAAGUCAGAUUUUGUUGACAAUUUCAUACUUACUGGUCAUUCACAUGGCAUCCAGAUAGAUUAGCUGCUUUUCUCAAGGCAAUCCUCCACUUUUGUAUCAUCUCCUUCUUUUCUUGAUUUGCAUCUCUUUCAUGGUAGGCAAGUGCGUCUCCGAAACUCCCCCUUUGGUUUCGUACAUCAGAUGGAUCCACAUGGUAGAAAAUUGGUAGAACCACUGAUUCCUUUUGGCUCUUGCGUUCAAUGAUCUUUACGAGUUCAUUUAAACACCAUCUGGAGUAAGCAUAAUUUUUUGAGAAAAUAAUAAUAAAAAACCUCGAUUCUUCUAUAGCUCUCAAGAGAUCAGAUGCAAUAUCUCCUCCUUUCUCAAGUUCUUCAUCAUCUCUGAAAGUUUGAAUUCCAGAUGCAGUCAAUGUGGUAUAUAGAUGAUCAGUGAAAUUUCUGCGAGUAUCGCCACCUCUAAAACUCAAGAACACAUCAUAAUUACGAGAAAUAGAAGUAGUCGAAGAAGAGGCUCUAUGGGUGCUGGAAGAAGCCAUUUUUGGAUGGCUUGAACCAAAAUUACAAGGGAGUUUGGAGGGUCCUUGGAUGCUCAAUGACUAUUGGCUCCAGACCUCUUCACCAUGAACAAAAAUCCAAGCUGGGAGGGAGGUUCAGCUGAAAAGCUUCAUCUGCAGUCGUAAAAGAAAAGAAAAACGUAUAUAAAGCCCUCUUUGAGAAAUUUCUUUGUAUAUAAAUUCUAAGAGAAACUCACACAUAUUUUACCUUUUGGUUGGGGAAGAUCCUUUCUCCAUUCCCUUUGUGUUGGAGACUGCAUUAAGGGAUGCAGAGAAGAUGGUGGGGAAGGUGUUGAAGAAGAGGCGGUGGGUAGCAGAGGUCUCGUUGACUGGGUGGAUGGAAUCGAGGUAAGGAAUUCUAAUAUUUUGAAAUGAAAUUUCAUGGAAGGUGUUGUUUUCAGUUUUUGUUUCCACAAAUAUUUGUGCGCGGCACCUAUGAUGAUGAGAAAUCCCUAAUUAAGACUAAGUAAUAUUGCUUUCCUUUUUAAUUAAUCAUUUAUACUUAAUUUUUUUCCGUCAACUUAAGUAUUUUGAUAAUAUUAUUUGUUAUAGAUAUUGAUGGGAAAAUUCUAUCAUCUUUCUAAGAGAUUUAUUAGAUUCUUGUUGGAAAUCCACGUCAAAGUAGGCUGCUAACUAAAAGUUAAUAGAGGUCUGUGACUUUCACAUUAAAAAAUAGUUGGAUUGAUGUAGAAAAGGCAAACCUUCCCCCCACACCCAAAUGUAAUAUUUCAUUAUUUUUUGUAAUUUUAUUUUUCUCUCUAGUUCCUAUAUUUGUACAACUUCCUCCUUUAGUUUAGUUCCUUUUCUUUGUAAUAUUUAUUUUGAUAUUUUUACAACUUAAAUUUAUGGAAUAUCUUUAUUUAAUAAUUUUUAUAAAAAAUAUUAAGUUUUUAUAGAUAUAUCAAUAUAUAGGUUUUACAUAUAUAUUGGGAUAUAUAAGGAAAUAUCGAUGAAAUGGAAAUUGAUCAAAAAUUAUAAAAAUAUUCAAUAUAAUUCAAUAAAAAUGAAUAUUAGAAAUAAUAAUAAACAUUUUGAUAUUGUUUUGUUAAAAAAAAAAAAAGAUCGAUAUAUGUAUGAUAUAAUUUAUAAUAUUCAAAAAUAAUAUUUAAAAUUAAAAAAAAAUUAUAUAAACAUAUCUAAUUUGGAUGUAUUUAAUGACAUAAAAAAUUAUGAUAAAAGUAUUAGUACUUUUAUUUUAAAAUAUUGACAAUUUUAUUUAUAAAUUUAUAUAUGGUUAUUUUAUAUUUAUUUAUUAUACCAAACAUAUGAUAAUUAAAAUUUAUUCAUUUAUAUAUAUAUACAAAAAAACAUAUAUUAAUUUAUGCAUAUGUAACAUAAUUUAUAAUAUAUAUAUAUAAAAGAGAAUCUUAAUAUAAUAUACAUAAAUAAACAUCGUAUAUGUAAGUCAUGCAUUGCAUUAUAAUAUUAACAAACUUAGGUCGGUGGCGUGCUGCGCUCACGCAAUGCCUGAGGUCAUGGGUUCUCAAACCCAUCCUUCCACUAACGAUUCUCUUUUUUAAUGUUAAGGGGUGGAAUCCCACAUCGACCAGCCAUAGCACUCAAAGUUUAAAUCUUUUUUUAACGGUAAGAGGUGGUAUCCCACAUCGGCCGGCCACAGCACUUAAAAAACCUGCUCAUAGACCCUUCUACCGACGUAGACGCAAUAUUUUCCAAAAAGGCUGAUGUCUCUCCGAGCCGAGAUAUCCACCUGCUGUAUCGUGUCGGAUGUUACGGACAGAAGAAAUAGUUCCAGCUACUUUCAUCUUGAUCAUAUCUUCAUAAUUGAUUAUUCAUUUUGAUGUUUUACUUCUAAUAUACCUGACAUUUUAGUUUGGUGUUUCGCUUAGGCUUUGAUUACGGAACUAUUUCUUAUAAUUAUUGGUAGGAAAUUUCCUAUGGUCUUCCAAGUAGGCUAUUUACAAAAGAUUGAAAAAUUGAAAAACCUCAAUGUCCUUUCACAUUUGAAGAUAGUGAAAUUCAUAUAAAAACAAUCAAUACUACAAAAAUUUGUAUGAAGAUAAUGCUAUUUAAAGAAGGUUAAUAGACCUUGAUGUCCUUUUAUAUUGAAAGAUAAUGAAAUUCUAUAUAAAAUAUUAAUAAUAAUAACCAACGCUACAAAAGUUUGUGUGAAGGCAGAGACCAUUUACAAAAGGUCAAUAGACCUCAAUGUGCUUUCACAUUGAAAGAUAAUGAAAUUCACAUAAAAAUAAUAAUAAUAGUAACUAAUGCUAUAAAAAUUUGUAUGAAGACAAACUAUUUACAAAAGCUCAAUAGACCUUAAUGUUCUUUUAUAUUGAGAGAUAGUGAAAUUUAGAUAAAAAUAUAUAUAGCCAAUGCUACAAAAGAUUGUAUAAAGGCAAACUAUUUAUAAAAGGUUAAUAGACUUUAAUGUCCUUUUAUAUUGAGAGAUAGUGAAAUUUAUGUAAAAAUAUAGUCAAUGCUACAAAAGUUUGUAUAAAGGCAAACUAUUUAUAAAAGGUUAAUGGACUUUAAUGUCCUUUUAUAUUGAAAGAUAGUGAAUUCAUAUAUACAUAUAUAUAAUAAUAAUAAUAACCAACACUACAAAAGUUUGUAUGACAGCAAACCAUUUACAAAACCUUAAUAGACCUCAAUGUCCUUUCACAUUGAAAGAUUGUGAAAUUCACAUUAAAAAAAAAAAAAAAAACCAAGCAUAUAUAUAUAUAUGGUAAUGUGAUAUUUCAUCUUAAUUCCUCUUUUAUUUUCAUCUCUUGGUAUUGAAUAAUAUAUUCUUCAUUUCUACAACUCUUUCUUUUUUCUUAACUUUUUUUUUUUUUUUGUACUCAGUAACAAUGGGUUCAUUUGACAUUCAUUCAAGAUCCUCCUUGUUUUGUUCUCAAAUGAUUCAAAAAAAAUGAUACCAUAUAAGGAAUUUCUUAAAUAGAUGCUUGUAAAAAUUAUAUAAAAUUUAUUAAAAAAAAAUUAAAAAUCAAAGAAAUAUCACUCCUUUUCUUUAAUUUUUAUCCUUUAAUCAUUGGUGCAAAAUGAUAAAAGUGCAAUUAUGCUUUAUUUGGUACUAAUAAGAAUUUCAAAAUCUCUUCACCUCAAGAUAUUGAAGUUUAGGUAAGAAAAUAGAUGGAUAAAAGUAUGACAUAAAACUUUUUUUCCCCAUUUGGAAGGUGUUUGUAGUUAAAGUAAAUAUAUAUAUAUAUAUAUAUAUAUAUAUAUAUAUAUAUAUAUAUAUAUAUAUAUAUAUAUAUAUAUCAAGUGGCAUAACAAAAAACAUAGGAUUUCCAAAAAGAACUUAAAAUGCAUUCAUCAUGCAUGUAGCUUGUCCACCGUAUUUCUUCAAAUAAUAUUAUUAUGGUUUGUUUGCAGUAUAUUUAUUAACAUAAAAUUUUAAUCAGAGAAAUGCCAAAAAAAAAAAAAAACUCAUUUUGAUCAUAUCUUCAUAAUUGAUUAUUCAUUUUGAUGUUUUACUUCUAAUAUACCUGACAUUUUAGUUUGGUGUUUCGCUUAGGCUUUGAUUAUGGAACUAUUUCUUAUAAUUAUUGGUAGGAAAUUUCCAAUGGUCUUCCAAAUAGGCUAUUUACAAAAGAUUGAAAAACCUCAAUGUCCUUUCACAUUUGAAGAGAGUGAAAUUCAUAUAAAAACAAUCAAUACUACAAAAAUUUGUAUGAAGAUAAUGUUAUUUACAAAAGGUUAAUAGACCUUGAUGUCCUUUUAUAUUGAAAGAUAGUGAAAUUCUAUAUAAAAUAUUAAUAAUAAUAACCAACGCUACAAAAAUUUGUAUGAAGGCAGAGACCAUUUACAAAAGGUCAAUAGACCUCAAUGUGCUUUCACAUUAAAAGAUAAUGAAAUACACAAAAAUAAUAAUAAUAAUAAAUAAUGCUAUAAAAAUUUGUAUGAAGACAAACUAUUUACAAAAGGUCAAUAGACCUCAAUGUCCUUUUAUAUUGAGAGAUAGUGAAAUUUAUAUAAAAAAAAACAACCAAUGCUACAAAAGUUUGUAUGAAGGCAAACUAUUUAUAAAAGGUUAAUAGACCUUAAUGUCCUUUUAUAUUAAAAGAUAGUGAAAUUCAUAUAUAUAUAAAACUAAUAAUAAUAACCAAUGCUACAAAAGUUUGUAUGAAGGAAAACCAUUUACAAAAGGUUAAUAGACCUCAAUGUCCUUUCACAUUGAAAGAUAGUGAAAUUCACAUCAAAAAAAGAAAAAGAAAAAACCAAGCAUAUAUAUAUAUAGUAAUGUGAUAUUUUAUCUUAAUUCCUCUUUUAUUUUCAUCUUUUGGUAUUGAAUAAUAUAUUCUUCAUUUCUACAACCCUUUCUUUUUUCUUAACUAUUAUUAUUAUUAUUAUUUUUUGUACUUAGUAACAAUGGGUUCAUUUGACAUUCAUUCAAGAUCCUCCUUGUUUGUUCUCAAAUGAUUCAAAAGAAUGAUAUCAUAUAAGGAAUUUCUUAAAUAGAUGCUUGUAAAAUUAAAAAAACAAAGAAAUAUCAUCUCCUUUUCUUUAAUUUUUAUCCUUCAAUCAUGGGUAAAAAAUGAUAAAAGUGCAAUUAUGCUUUAUUUGGUACUAAUAAGAAUAUCAAAAUUUCUUCACCUCAAGAUAUUGAAGUCUAGCUAAGAAAAUAGAUGGAUAAAAGUAUGACAUAAAACUUUUUUUUUCCCAUUUGGAAGGUGUUUAUAUAUAUCAAGUGGCAUAACAAAAACAUAGGAUUUCCAAAAAGAACUUAAAAUGCAUUCAUCAUGCAUGUAGAUUGUCUACUGUAUUUCUUCAAAUAAUAUUAUUAUGAAUUUGUUUGUACUAUAUUUAUUAACAUAAAAUUUUAAUAAGAGAAAUACCAAAAGAACUGAAAAAGAUGAAAGCAAAUGUAGAAAAAAAAUUAAAUUAAUUCAUAAGAUAAAACAUACUAAGCAAACAAUUUCUAGGGGAGAAAAUUUUGAAAUUUUUAGUAAAAUUAGAAGUAUAUAAUAACAACAUAUUAAAGACUAGUUGCAUAUUUAUUCUAUGAAAUCAUUUCAAUUCAUGACAAAAUGAUAGUCAAAUGAAAAGAAGUUUGAAUGAAAUUUUAAGAUUAUUGAUAUGUUAAUACAUUAAACUAAUCAAUAUUUUUCUAUAUCUUAGCAGCCAUCAAUGACCUGAAGUUAGUAGGACUUCCCUCUCUCUAUAAGACUUUUUUUUUUUUUUCUCUUUUUUGAAAGGAUUUCAUUCCAUUUGUCAAGGUAAGGAAUUGUUUUUCCCUAUCUUUGUUUUUCUCCCUUUGAAUGAUUCACUUAUAUGUUAAGGGUUAGUUUCUUUGAAAAUUUUUUCCUAAAGAAAGAUAUUAUUUUAAUUGGUAAAUAUACCUAUCACUUUGUUGAUGUUAUAGAAACUCUCUCCCUUUUCAAGAUUGUUUUGUUUCUACUACUAUUUGAAAAUAAAAAAUAAAAAAAAUAUUUUAAGUGGUAGAAAACCAACUAAUGGUUAGUUAAAAUAAAUAUUAUAAACCUCAAGAAAUGAGAGACAACAUCCAUAAAUCAACAAAGUUAAAAUCUUUAAUGUCUUUUUUAUGCUUGUGAAGUGUGCAUAGCUGUCCUUCAUUCUCAAUGAUUUUUUAUUUCUAGGAUGACUUUAAGGACUCCUUCCUUUGCAUUUGCUUCUCUCAUUUUAUAAGUCAAGGUCUUUGAUGACUAUUAUUUGCAUUUUGUUUGUUUGUUUGUUCGUUUUUGUUUGCUUUUCUCCUUUCAACGGUCAACAACCAAUCUUCUUACUUUUAGUGCCUUUCUCAUUUUAUAAAUCACGAUCUUUGAUGAUUAUCUUUUGCAUUUUGUCUUUUUGCUUUUCUCCUUUCAACAUUAAACAACCAAUCUUCUUGCUUUUAGUGCUUCUCUCAUUUUAUAAGUGAAGGUCUUCGAUAAUUAUCUUUUGUAUUUUGUUUUUUGCUUUUCUCCUUUCAACAUUCAAUAACCAAUCUUCUUGCUUUUAGUGAUUGUCUUGAACUUUGAUAACAAGUGCCUAAGGCCUUCUAAGAAAUUUGCUUGAAGGCACACUACCAUCCAAAGCUCAAUAAACCAAGGAAAAUUGUAUGAAACUAUUUCAUAUCAUUUCUUGAAAUUCAGAUCUUGGUAAGAAAUUGAUUUGAAGGUAGGCUACUACCAAAGUUUAAUAAACCAAGGAAAAUAGAAUUCUUUUCACACUAUUUCUCAUGUUUGGAUAAUAUGAAAAAAAAAUAAAACAUUAUUAUUUUUUUUAAUUUUGUUUUUCUUUUGUUUUUCUCCUUUUUGACACUAAUUAGUAGUCUCACAUACAUGGAAUGCUCCCUACUAGAUCAUAUAUCCACAUCAAAAGUUAGAUUCAUUAAUCAUAGAAAGAAAAUUAGUAGCCUCACAUAACACUUAAAACAUUGUGAAAAGGUGAAUCUCAAUGAUGGACUACACCUAGAGGGGGGAGGAGGGGGGUGAAUAGGUGUUGUAGAACAAUUUAAAAAUUCUCCCAACAAAGAUUACCUAACCUUAGACUAUCUCAAUGUUAAGAAACUUCUCUUCCAACAACUUUUCAACAAAGCAUAACAUCCACAAGCAAGAGUGAAUGCAUCAACACUCUCCCAAUAAUUUAUAAAUGCAAAACACAUGCAAAUGCUUCAACACUCAAAAAUAAAUCAAAAGAACAAUCAUCUCCUCAACUCAUAUCAAUUGACUCCAUGAUAUCAUUAAACAAAAUGAACAUACAAAAUAUUAAAGAUAUUCCAUGGAUCAUCACACUUAUAUCACCUCAUAUUUCUUCCAUUCAACAUGUAUGCCCAAGUAAUCAAUGAUAUCAAAAACAGAAAAUAAAUCAAAGUGUAGAGUGAGAGAAAUAGACAAUGAACACCGGAUUUUUAAUGUGAAAAACCUCUAAAGAGAUAAAAAAAAAACUACAGACCUAUCACCAAUUGAAAAACUCCAUUAUGAAGAAUAAAAACUGAGUGCAAGGUUUUACCUAGCUCAAGCCAACCAAUCCUUCCCAGACUACUUGACUAGUACCUUCACUUUCAGCUUCUCACCUUCUUCUUUCGGAGCACACUUGGAGUCCGCACCAAGCUCAAUCACGACCUCUUCUUGAAUCCACACAAGAAGAAAAUGGGUUUUUGCACAAACCCAAAUAGAAUAAGAGAUUGAGAUAUGAAUGAAGGAAUGAAUCAACCCAUUUAUUGCUCAAGAAAAUCCAUUAAAAACUAGUUUGGAAAACAUUAAGAGAAGUGGAUUUUCUUUGCAAUCAAAAACCCCAAAUUAGGAAAACAAGAUGAGAAAAUGAAGAACACAUGGAGUGGAUGCUCUCUUCACGUUUUCUGCAGUCCCUGCCUAAAAAAAUGAGAGAAGAUUGUUUUUUUAAAAUAUAAAAAGAAGCCCUUAAUCUAAUGGCUAAUAUUUGAUCUAAAAAAAAUUAGUUGGAUCGAUCCACCCUUGCACCUAGAUAGAUCCAGAAACAGGGGAAUAAAAGUCUUGCACCAAAAACCAUUUCUCCCAACUUUCUAACAUAUUUAAAUAUUAAAAACCGAGUUGACUCACAUUCAAUCACCACACACUCAGCUACAUACCUCGGCCUCUUAGCAAAGUCUUAGUCUUCAAAGUCAAGUAGUCCGAAAAGGAAUUGGAAAGCCGAGUUAGGGGACACUUAGGAAUUUUGUCCGGAAUUGCCAACCCUAAACACUCACACAUUCACAAGUCACUAUCUCUAUAAUAAAACAAAUAGAGUAAUUAGAGUAUUAUUUUUUAAAGCUUUAUCACACAGCUUUCUAUGUAACAAGAAAGGAAGUAUUUUGAAAACUUGGUACAAAGUCUCCAUCCUCAUAAUUCGAUUUGGAAGGGUUUAUUGAAUUAAACCCUCCCUAAAGCGUUUCACGUGUGCCCACAAUUUGUGACGAUCAGGAAGAUUUUCAUUGAUCACUGGAACCUACUUAAAAUUCUGAAUCCAUGCAUGCAAUCGAGGGAAUGUGGUGGAAACCAGCAGUUUUGUGCCAACCAAAUGCUAUGUCCACCAGUCCUAUAGCUUCCCCUCCAAAAAACUUCUUAUCCCCAAGGCCUUUCUCUUCUAUGAUUUUCAGUAUUUCCACUGUUUCUUUUAUGGCCUUCUCUUGCUCUUCCCCAGCAGCAGAUUUAAAGAGUUGAAAAAAAGUGGCACUCUAGAAGAAAUUAGCAACAUGUAUAUUUAGAAUUGAAUGCAUGGUUGAAAACAAGAGUACGGUGAUCUCAAAUAUGAAUAAAAAUUAUAGUUAUUAAAUUAAUUAAAAAUAGGGGGAAAAAAAAAAGAUUUAGAAAGUCUACAAGUUCUUUUCAUUUUAAUCAUAGGUAUUAAUGGGAGAUUUCAAUUUGAUUCCUCUUUCCUCUCCAAAUUCCUUAAUUCCAAACCUAGCUAGGGUGUGAUAGCCAAACAGAAUACAGCCAAGCUCCAGCUCUCCCAAACCAAACCAAACUGAUCAAGAACUCAGCUCCCAGUUAGUUACAACAACCCAAGGAAGUUAGAACAACUGUAUAGUAGAGUAGAUUCAACUGGUAUAAAAACCAUGAUGUUGCUAUUAUAUUCAAGAGAUGAAAUGAAAAACACGGUUUUCAGUUCAGUUUCUAUCAUGGUAUCAGAGCAGAACGAGCUCUUGAAAGAAGUCUUCUUGAAAAGAUAAGCUUCAGGCUGCACAAUACGCUCAUCUCUCAAAAAACAAAAAAAAGAUUUAAAAAGUCUACAAAUUCUUUUCAUUUUAAUCAUAUGUAUUAAUGGGAGAUUUCAAUUUUAAAAAGUAUCAUGGCUAAUUUUUGGAUCACUUCAAUAAAUUUUUACAGAUAGCUAAUUAGAAAUUCACUAAUGAAUACUUUCACAAAUGACUGAAACCAAGAAAUGGGCUAUGAAAGCUAGAUGGAGAGCUUUCAUAUAUUUCAGUCUUGCAAAAGAUUCGGAAAUUAAAUCAUAAGAAUUGAUAAUAAAAACAAGAUUAGUGAGUUAAACCUACAUUUGAUUCUCCAAAAUUGAUCCAAAACCGAGCCAUGGCUCUCUCAUAAGCAUCUGUCGGCAGCAGUACAUUCUCUGGCCAUGUUUCUUCGAAUUAUUCGAGGAUUACAAGGGACUCGGCUACUGCUUUGUCACCAUGAAGAAGCACCGGAAUCUUCUUGUGAACUGGAUUGUGGUAUAACUGCAACUGGCUCUUGUUACCAAGGUCUUCCUCUAUAUACUCAUAGUUUAUGCCCUUGAGUUUUAGAGUCCAAAUCAC
RNAcentral lists this long non-coding RNA (80738 nucleotides) under Vitis vinifera (wine grape). RNAcentral's name for it is "long non-coding RNA (VVIN_LNC001424)". The record is from RNAcentral. Lineage: Eukaryota; Viridiplantae; Streptophyta; Magnoliopsida; Vitales; Vitaceae.